UUUUUUUUUGGUUUAAGGACUGGACAAGUACACUUCUUUUUUUUGCGAGGAGUACAAGUAUACUUCUAACUGAGUUGUAACAGUUGGUGUGCAGCUCCGUAAAAAGUUCUCCUUUUUUGUGAGGUAUAAAAGUACUCCUAUUUAAAACAGGACUGAUUUGCAAAAAACAAAACUCUACAUGAUUAUGAAUUUAUUUGCUUACCCCUUUUUUAUUCUAAGUUGAUUUAUUUUUCAAUCGUAACCAAAUUUGUAUAAAUAAAUUAAACUCAAAAAACGGAAUAAGCAAAUAGUAAGCUUUGUAGUGUAACAAAAGGUAUAAUUGGAGGGGUGUUCAAAAAAAAGUAUGAUUGGAUGGACUUAAUUCACUAUCGUGGAAAUAAGUUAAAAUCAACAGCAAGGCUGUGAAGGAAAGAAAUAUAUUCACUUUCAUGGAACGAAUCCAUGAAAAUUGCCAACAAAUUGGCAAUUGCAUUUAAAUCCAUGGCAUCGCCAACUGUUUGUAAUUUGCACGUGCAUUUUACUAGUUGUAGUAGUCUAUCUAGCAACCAACUGACUAAACAUCAUGAUGUGUCUAGUUACAUGUUACACUGUAAUCUUUGUACCUUCGUGUUAAGGCAGACUUUGUGUUAACACAUCCACAUUGGUGGCAUUGUGCAUACACGACUUCAGUUCUUCUUUAGACAAUCGCCCAGCAUCAUCCGGGUAAUAUGUCGUGGUUCUUCAUACUUGAACAGGUGGUGGGCGCACUCUAAUAGCAGCUGAACCCGCCUCUAUAGUUAGGUCUUCAAAGUUUGCAUGCCCGUGAUACCUUCACCAUUCAGGUGCUUCACCUCAGUCACUAGGAGUCCGACCUCCUCAGACAACUAGGGUACGACCUGUCAAAAGAACAUUUUCCGCAUCACCAUCAUAGACCGCGGCACACCAGCUACCAUGCCAGCCACAUGGCCAUGGCAGCGAGCCAACACCUAAGAGGGGAACCAACUCCACGGUCGUGACUAUUUUAAGGUCCUCGACCAGAUCCGAGGGUAAGCAAAGGGUUCAACCGCCAGAUUCUGUCCAUUGGAUUUUAGAUCUUGAUGGUAGGUAGGGGCUCCAAAGCGCUCAUGUGCUUCAGCUGAUCCGAAGUCUUGGGUCUCCGGCGUGGAGACACGCGGGAACGAUUUUGAUCGUCAGAUGAGGCUUCCAUCGAACCUUGGCGAUCACGCGGCGGGGUCUGUAUGGGCCACCAAUGUCGGUGCUAAAAUUGACGGAUCUCGGGUAGGGGGUCCCAAGUUGGUGAUCUUAGAAUGAUGGUAACAUGAUUGAUAGGGACACGGUAUUUACGCGGGUUCGGGCCCUCUCAAAGAGGUAAAACCUACGUCCUGCCUUGUUUAUAUUGAUUGUGGAUGGGAUACAGAGUACAAUAUAAAUCAUGGUCCAUCCGUGAGCUCUUCUCGCCUCCCCCCGAAGCUUCCAAGGUGUCUUCUGGUCCAAGAAAAAUCGUCAAAAAGUUUCGUUCCGGUUGGACUCUGUUUGGUAUUGAUUUUUUGUAGAAGACAAAAACAAGGAAAAAACAACAACUGACACUGGGCACUAGGUUAAUAGGUUAAUCCCAAAAAUGAUAUAAAAUAACAUAAAAAUGCAUAUAAAACAUUCAAGAUGAAUAAUAUAAUAGCAUGGAACAAUAAAAAAUUAUAGAUACGCUGGAGACGUAUCACAAUCAUAGGAGAAAUGAAGCAUAUGUAUGAUUCAAGCUAAGCCGCCGCUGGCAAAGAAAGAAAAACUAAAAAAUUGGUGAGUAAUAAUGCAAUGAAAAUAGAAAUGGAAAAGGAGACAACAUCUUUUGUUGAAAGAUGUAUAAAAGCUUGAAAGUGCGUUAUAUCGGCUAGAGGGGGUGAAUAGGCGAUUUUUACAAAUUCGUCACCGAGGAAUUUCACAGAGAGGAAAUUCCUAAGUCACGAACAACUAGCAGCGGAAUAAGUACUCAGAAGUAAACAAAACAGAGCAGAAGCACAGACAUCAUGAUGAAAUGAAAACAAGCACAGAGUACAAGUAGCGUAAACACAGGAUAAGCAGGCUGAAGACAAACUGACUGAAGAAAUUGAACUGAGGAAAUUGAGAAAGUCUUCAGUCAAAGUCUUCGAACAGUAACGAUCAGGUACAACAACACAGAAUGAGGAAAUUGGAAGGGUUGAGGAGAUAGAACCAGUUAGCUCGGUGAAGAUAGUGAUUUGGUAGACCAGUUCCAACUGCUAUGACAGUCGUACGUCUGGUUGGAGCGGCUAGGUAUUUAAACUUGAGAACACACAGUCCCGAACACACAGUCCUCACCGUAUUAUCCUUGCUCUAAGGUCACACAGACCUCGCCCAAUCACUCGUGGUAAGUCUUCAGGUGACUUCCAAACCUUCACAAACUCGGUCACUCGGCGAUCCACAAUUUCCUCUUGGAUGCUCUAGACCAUGACGCCUAACCGUCUGGAAGAUGCACAGUCUUCAAAGGUAACAACCGUCGGAUCCACACAGGAACAAUCUCUUCAGUGAUGCUCAAUCACUUUGGGUUUGUAGGUAUUUGGGUUUGAGUUUUCCUCACUUGAUGAUUUUCGCUCAAAGUCCUCGGAGGAUGGGAUGCUCCCAAUGACAAGUGUCAGUUUCUCUCGGAGCAGCCAACCAGCUAGUGGUUGUAGGGGGCGGCUAUUUAUAGCCUACGGAGCAGCCCGGCAUGAUAAGGCAUAAAUGCCCUUCAAUGAUAUGACUGUUAGGUCAGUAGAUAUUUUGGGACAGCUAGCGCGUAGCACAACAGCGGUCGGAAAUUUGAGCUCUCAAAUUCCUCAGGGCUAUCAUGUUCCUCACUUGUAGGCAAUCCGCACUAGCGAAUUCCUAACUCCUCAGUCAGAACAAAUUUCUUAGAGACCAGAAGAUCUUCGUCUCUUUCACUGAAGAAAUUGACUGAACUGUAUGAGGUUUCCAAUGGCUUCACUCAAAGGGAUUGGUAGGUGUAUAGGAUUUUGAGAUGAGCAUCACUUGGAAACUUUUUCUUAGUUUUUCCUCGACCCCCUUUAACAGUAUGGUGUUUCCUAUGACUCAAGAAAGAGAAAACGAAACUACGAAAACAAAAGUCUUCACGCUUCAUGUUCCUCGCACGAAUAUCAAGUCUUCACGGUCACACCAAUUUCUUCACUUUCACAGUCUUCAGAAAGCCAAAGUCUUUAGUUGAAGACAUUCAUUUUUAGGGGUCGACUUUCACUGUAAAUAUCAAACUCCUCAUAGACCUAUAGACAUGUGUAUACUCACAAACACAUUAGUCCCUUAACCUAUAAGUCUUCAAUACUCCAAAAUCACUAAGGGGCACUAGAUGCACUUACAAAGCUACGGACACAGUGUCUUGUCAUAUUGAUUGAUGUUUUACUGUUCACAUUAUGUCAUCUUGAUUAUUGCGGCGCUCUGUUCCUUGCAAACCUAAUACCCCGAGAUGCAUGCUGGAUAGCGGUUUUGGGGUGGACUAUUAGUAGUAGAUGCAGUUGGAAGAACGGUCUUCUUAUCACGGUCGUAAUGCCUAUAUGAGAUUAUAGUAUGAAUGAUCAUACUCAUAAAUAUAAAUAUUGCAAUUCAAUCGCUGCUCAACUGUAAUUUAUUUACCAUACUACUUGCUUGUUUCGAGAGACAUGCCACUAGUGAACCUAUGGUCCCCAGUCUAUUCUCCAUUACUAAAAUCUUCAUCACAAUUGCUACUUAUACUUUGUCGUGUCACAUUUCUAUCAAUCGAUUCAAAGGAGAAGAGAAAGGACUUAUUGAACUAGCUUCCAAGAUCGACGACCAAAGAUGGAGCAGCUCGAAAGAACCGGGGAGUAUCCUCGACUUGAAGACCGGUUCAGGGGCUACUGACGGUGUCUUGGAUUAGGGGUGCUCACCACAUCAUCUCCCGGCUAGGAGGGCUGGGCCGAGGACCCUAAGAUGAUUCAGUAGUGGGCCUAACUCGUCGACCCAGGAGCGCUAGGAAGGGAUGUUUCCAAAGACUUGGCACCUACUCCAAGAUUUAGAGGUCGUCUACAUCAUGAUUACCUUAAUUAUAUGUAACCAACCUAUGUGUAAACCCUACACACCCCUAGUAUCUAUACAAGCCAAGGGGCAAGAUUCAUAGAUGACACACAAGGAUCUCACGGUAGAUCAACCUGUAAUCUCUACUGCGUCAAACAAUACAAUCAAAGCAAGACGUAGGGUAUUAUCUCUUUGAGAGGGCCCGGACCUGCGUAAAUCCCUAUCUUCUGUUAACAUCGCAUGGAAGCUACCUUCUCGGGAUCCCCUACCCGAGAUCUGCUGGAUCUGACUCCAUCAACCUCCUCGUCCCACUCGCCGCUGCCGCAUCCACUGGUGCCCCACCGCCGACAUUGGUUCCGCUUCUUGCCGUCGACGAUGUAAAUAGCGGCCCGCACCCUACCCAGGGUCGUCGCCGCCCAUCGGCACACUGUCUCCACCUCCGCGGUCACCGUCGAAAGACGUGGGGUUCACCAGCCUUGCUGCCUGGAGGGCCAAGGACGGUCCCUUCACCAGCCGAGACUCGUCCAUGCCCGCCCACAAGAUGUUCGACCAUUUGCCCGGCCGAGACUCGUCCACGCCCACUGUUGUCUAGUAAGGUACAAAUUCACAUCACUCGAAAGGAUCAUGGCGGAUACCUCGGACAAGUUCUUUUUUUUUACAAUAACUUCAUAUGUUCAUCAUUGUCUGAAGAAUAGUCUGGUGAUGAUUGUGAUGUUGUGGUUGCUACACUUCUCAUGGAUGAACACAUUGCAAAGCGGCGUCCAUUGUUCAGUGGAUCGAUACCGGGCCAAGUUCCUGGGUUGACUCAUAAUAGAGAAAACGUCCAUGCCCUACUCUUCAAUGAUUAUUUCCAUCAGACAAAACAACUAUUCCCUACCAAGCUUUUUCGGCGAUGCUUAUGGAUGGGGAGACCAUUGUACAAUCGUAUUUGGCAGGGAGUGAUGGGUUAUGAUUAUUACUUCAAUUGCAAGUAUGAUGCCCUUGGAAGGGUUGGCUUGACCUCUUAUCGAAAAUGCACUGUAGUUGUUUCGAUGCUUGCAUACGGAGUUCCCGAUGAUCUAGUUGAUGAGUACGUAAGCAUGCGUGAUUCCACAUGCCUUGAGUCAUUGUACAUGUUUAUGAUUAGAGUGUUUGGCCUAGAGUACUUGAGAGAACCAAAUGUUGAGUAUACAACCCGAUUGUUAUUGAUCAAUGCUUCUAGAGGCUUUCCGGUGAUGCUUGGAAGCAUAAAGUGUAUGCACUGGGAGAGGAAGACUAUCCAUUUUCUUGGCAGGGGCAAUAUAAGCACUAGUAGAAAAAGGGGCUUUCGUUCGGGCCUAGCCAGCCCAUUAGUCCGGGUUCUGCCACGAACCGGGACCAAUGGAGGCAUGUGUCCCGGUUCGUGAGCCCAGGGGGCCGGCCGGGCCUCGUGGGCAUUGGUCCCGGUUCGUCUGGGCCCAUUUGUCUCGGCUCUUGGCACGAACCGGGACCAAUGAGCCUCGCUCCUGGCCCACAACCAUUGGUCCCGGUUCGUGGAAGGAACCGGGAUAGAAGGGUGGCCUUUAAUCCCGGUUCCAGCCACGAACCGGGACAAAUGAGUUGCCUAUAUAUACCCCAUUGCCUGCGAGCAGAGCACUCCACAGUGCUCUGUUUUUUGCUGGCCGGCGAGGAAGGGCAUUUGGGUGCUCUAGCUCACCUCUUAUGCAUGUGAGGUGUUCGAUGAAAUGCCCAAGCCACACUAGUUAAGCUUUCUCCUCUCGAAGCUCAACCUCCGAGCUCCAUUUUUUCUGAGAUUUGUCUAGGUUUAGCGGUCCGUCACGCCCCGUCCUCGUCUUCACCGUCGUCGAUCGCCCGCGCCGAUCUCGUCGCCGGCACCACCGUGGUGAGCCUCUUGUUCUUAUCUUCUUUCUGAAAGAAAAAAAUCUUACUUUAGAUAGAUACUUGUCUAAUUUUCUUGCUUUUGACACACAUAAUUAUAUAUAAUGCACGCAGAUGAACCGGCAAUGGAUGUACGGUGACAGACACACCUCUGAGUACAUUAAGGGCGUGCAUAAUUUCUCGAAGUGGCUGAGGAAAACAAGCAGAAUGGUUUUAUGUGUUGUCCAUGCCCUAAUUAUGGGAAUACGAGGUCUUACUCUGACAAGAAAAUCCUUCACACCCACCUGCUUUAUAAGGGUUUCAUGCCACACUAUAAUGUUUGGACGAAGCACGGAGAAAUAGGGGUUAUGAUGGAAGACAUCGAAGAAGAAGAGGACGAUGACAACUAUGUGCCCCCUGAAUACGGUGAUGCUGCAACGGGGGAAGUUGAAGAUCAAGAGGAAGCUGAAGAUCCAGAGGAACCAGACGAUGUGCACGAUGAUGAUCUCCGCCGGGUCAUUGUUGAUGCAAGGGAAAAGUGCGAAAGUGAAAAGGAGAAGCUGAAGUUCGAUCGCAUGUUAGAGGAUCACAAAAAAGGGUUGUACCCCAAUUGCGAAGAUGGCAACACAAAGCUCGGUACCGUACUGGAAUUGCUGCAGUGGAAGGCAGAGAAUGCUGUGGCUGACAAAGGAUUUGAGAAGCUACUGAAAAUAUUGAAGAAGAAGCUUCCGAAGGAUAACGAAUUGCCCGACAGUACGUACGCAGCAAAGAAGGUCGUAUGCCCUCUAGGAUUGGAGGUGGAGAAGAUACAUGCAUGCCCUAAUGACUGCAUCCUCUACCGCAGUGCGUACAAGGAUUUGAACGCAUGCCCGGUAUGCGGUGCAUUGCGGUAUAAGAUCAGACGAGAUGACCCUGGUGAUGUUGAGGGCGAGCCCCGCAGGAAGAGGGUUCCUGCGAAGGUGAUGUGGUAUGCUCCUAUAAUACCACGGUUGAAACGACUGUUUAGAAACAAAGAGCAUGCCAAGUUGAUGCGAUGGCACAGUGAGGACAGUAAGAAAGACGGGAAGUUGAGAGCACCCGCUGACGGGUCACAGUGGAGAAAAUCGAGAGAAAGUUCUUGGCUGAGUUUGCAAGUGACCCAAGGAACGUAUGGUUUGCUUUAAGCGCGGAUGGCAUUAAUCCUUUCGGGGAGCAGAGCAGCAAUCACAGCACCUGGCCCGUGACUCUAUGUAUGUAUGACCUUCCUCCUUGGAUGUGCAUGAAGCGGAAGUUCAUUAUGAUGCCAAUUCUCAUCCAAGGCCCUAAGCAACCCGGCAACGACAUUGAUGUGUACCUAAGGCCAUUAGUUGAAGAACUCUUACAGCUGUGGAAUGGAACAUGUGUACGUGCGUGGGAUGAGCACAUGGGGGAAGAUUUUGACCGAAAGGCGUUGCUUUUCGUGACCGUCAAUGAUUGGCCCGCUCUCAGUAACCUUUCAGGACAGACAAACAAGCGAUACCACGCAUGCACGCACUGUUUAGCUGACACCGAAAGUAUAUACCGGGACAGAUGCAGGAAGAAUGUGUACAUGGGCCAUCGUCGAUUUCUCCCGACCAACCAUCAAUGUCGAAAGAAAGGCAAGCAUUUCAAAGGCGAGGCAGAUCACUAGAAGAAGCCCGCCAUGCGUACCGGUGAUCACGUACUUGCUAUGGUCUCUAAUUUACACGUAAUAUUUGGAAAGGGUCCCGGCGGACUAGCUGUUCCGAAUGACGCCGAGGGACGCGCACCCAUGUGGAAGAAGAAAUCUAUAUUUUGGGACCUACCCUACUGGAAAGAGCUAGAGGUACGCUCUUCAAUCGACGUGAUGCACGUGACGAAGAACCUUUGCGUGAACCUGUUAGGCUUCUUGGGCGUGUAUGGGAAGACAAAAGAUACACCUGAGGCAUGGGAGGACCUGCAAUGUUUGCACGAAAAAUACGGCAUGCCUCCAAAGCAGUAUGAAGGUCCUGCCAGCUACGCUCUUACCAAAGAAGAGAAGGAAAUCUUUUUUGAAUGCCUGCACAGUAUGAAGGUCCUGACUGGCUUCUCGUCGAAUAUAAAGGGAAUAAUAAAUAUUCCAGAGAAAAAGUUCCAGAACCUAAAGUCUCAUGACUGCCACGUGAUUAUGACGCAACUGCUUCCGGUUGCAUUGAGGGGGCUUCUACCGGAAAACGUCCGAUUAGCCAUUGUGAAGCUAUGUGCAUUCCUCAAUGCAAUCUCUCAGAAGGUGAUCGAUCCAGAAAUCAUACCAAGGCUAAGGAGUGAUGUGGCGCAAUGUCUUGUCAGUUUCGAGCUGGUGUUCCCACCAUCCUUCUUCAAUAUCAUGACGCACGUCCUAGUUCAUCUAGUCGAUGAGAUUGUCAUUCUGGGUCCCGUAUUUCUACACAAUAUGUUCCCCUUUGAGAGGUUCAUGGGAUUCCUAAAGAAAUAUGCCCGUAACCGUACUAGGCCAGAAGGAAGCAAUGGGCCAUCAAACAGAGGAUGUCAUUGGGUUUUGUGUUGACUUCAUUCCUGGCCUUAAGAAGAUAGGUCUCCCUAAAUCGCGGUAUGAUGGGAGACUGACUGGAAAAGGCACGCUAGGAGCGGACUCAAUAAUAUGCAGGGACGGACAUUCUUGGUCUGAAGCACACUACACAAUUCUACAGAACUCUACCUUGGUGACCCGUAUGUCGAUGAACACAAGAAUAGUCUGCGCUCCAAACACCCGGAGCAGUGUGACGACUGGAUUACAUGUGAACACAUCAGGACUUUCAGCAGUUGGUUGGAAACACGUCUCAGAGGUGACACCACUGUUUGUGAUGAACUGUACUCGUUGUCCAGGGGACCAUCUUCGACUGUAUUGAAUUACAAAGGAUACGAGAUAAAUGGGAAUACAUUUUACACGAUCGCCCAAGAUCAAAAGAGCACCAACCAAAACAGCGGUGUCCGCUUUGAUGCAGCAACCGAGAGAGGAAAGGACACAUAUUAUGGUUACAUAAUGGACAUAUGGGAACUUGACUACGGACAUGAUUUUAAGGUCCCUUUGUUUAAGUGCAAAUGGGUCAAUCUGUCAGAAGGCGGGGUACAGGUAGACCCAUAGUACGGAAUGACAACAGUGGAUCUGAACAAUCUUGGGUACACUGACGAACCGUUCGUCCUAGCCAAUGAUGUGGCACAGGUUAUCUAUGUGAAGGACAUGUCUACCAAACCGAGAAAAAGAAAAGAUAAGGAAGCGAAAACAUCAUACGAUGAGCCAAAGCGCCACAUAGUUCUUUCAGGAAAAAGGGACAUCGUGGGAGUGGAGGGCAAGACAGACAUGUCUGAAGAUUAUGAAAAGUUUCAUGAAAUUCCUCCCUUCAAAGUCAAGGCUGGCCCAAGCAUCCUGAUAAACGAUGAAGAUUAUCCAUUGUUACGGCGCAAUAAGCAAAUGACACAAGCGAAGAAAAAGUGAAGACUUUCUCCCGCAACUAUUAUGAUGAUACCAUGCCAACUUUCAACCUUUUCAGAGUUCAUUUGUAGUGCUUUUCAAUUUCAGGGUCUUAUAGCUCAAAAUAAUCAGUAAAUGCAUGGAAAAUAACAAAUAUCAUAAAAUAAAAUAAAUAAGUAAUUAGAAACAGAAUAAAAUAAACUUUAAUAAAAUAUAUAAGUAGAAACAAAAUAAAAUAAACUUUAAUAACAUAAAUAAAAUUUAUGAAACUAAAAUUAUCAACGUAUUUUCUGUUCAAAACAUUAUAAGCAACCUCUAGUAUUAUUGAAACUAAAAUUAUAUAAAAUUGAUGCAACUAAAAUUAUCAAUGUUUUUUCUGUUCAAAAUCAUUUAAAGCAAAAAGAAUUUUCAUAAAGAACUUUUUUUAGAAACUUUAAUAGCAAAAAGAAUUAUCAUAAAAUAGAAUAAAUAAGUUAUUAGAAACAAAAUAAAAUAAAAUAAAUAAGUAUUUUGUUGUAAGUAGAAACAAAAUAAAAUAAAUAAAGCAAAAAAGAAAACAAAUAAACUGGGGAAAAAAGCAACCUACUGGGCCACCACGGCCUGAAUACGACUAGAAACCCACCCAUGGGCCAGGAUUCAGGCCCGUAGAAGGCCCAAUAUAGAUAGAGUAUGUUUAGGCCCGAAAGCCUACAUUUGAGAGGAGCUCGAGAGGGCAGCGGGAGUGGGGCUUAUAAACCACUCUCGAGCUCCCUCAACUAGUGAGGUGGGACUAAACUUUCGUGCCGCGAUGUGGGCAGCACAAGGCCUUUAGUCCCGGUUGGUGCCACCAACCGGUACUAAAGGCGUACAUUGGUACCGGCUCAUGCCAACAACCGGUACCAAUGCGCACCCUUUAGUCCCGGUUUGUGCCACCAACCGGGACCAAAGGCCUCUGCUUCCCGCCCUUUGGGCUGCUGAAAAGUGACCUUUGGUCCCGGUUGGCGGCUCCAACCGGGACUAAAGGGGUGCUUUGGUCCCGGUUGCUGCCACGAACCGGGACCAAAGGUCUGUCUAUAGAAGCCACACUUGUGAAAUUUUCGGUUCAGUUCUUCUUCCCACUGCCCCGACGUCGUCGCCGCGUGCUCCCCUGCCCCGACGCCGUCGCCGCGCGCCCCUGCCCCAACGCCGUCGCCGCACGCCGCCCCUGCCCCGACACCGUCGCCGUCGUCACCGCCCCGGUCCGUGACGCUCCGCGUGGUCACCGCACCGGUCCGCGCCGCCCCUGCCCCGACGCCGUCGUCGACGCCGCCCCCAGUGAGCCCUGGCCCCCGCGCCCCUGCCCCGCCGCCGCCGCCGUGGCCGCCGUAAAAAAUAUAUGAUUAGAUGAUUUUUUGUUCAUAGAUGUGAUUUUUUGUUCAUAUAUCAUAUGAUGUUUUUAUAUUGUUCAUAGAUGAUCGAUCAUAUUUGUUCAUAUGUAUGCAAGCGAAGUCGUUGUAGUUAGGGUUAGGGUCGUUGAGGAAAGAAAUUAAGGAAAGAAGAAAAGAGGAAGAAAAGAGGAAGAAGGAAGAAGAAGAAAAAUAAGAAGAGGACGAAGAAGAAGAAAAAAAGAGGAGAAGGAGAAGGAAUAUAGGAGAAGGAAAAAAAUAGAUUAAAAUCUAUUUUUUCUUCUUCUCCUCUAUUCCUUCUUCUUCUCCUUUUUUUUCUUCUUCUCCUCGGACAUGUGAUGAGGGGGGAGAGGAAAAGGGAAAAUAAGAAGAGGAAAAGGAGAAGAAGAAGGAGAAGAAGAGGAGAGGAAGAAGUGGAGAAAUAAAUAAGAAGAGGAAAAAAGAAGAAGAAAAAGAGGAGAAGAAGAAAGUAAUAGAGGAGAGCCUCUAUUCCUUUCUUCUNNNNNNNNNNNNNNNNNNNNNNNNNNNNNNNNNNNNNNNNNNNNNNNNNNNNNNNNNNNNNNNNNNNNNNNNNNNNNNNNNNNNNNNNNNNNNNNNNNNNNNNNNNNNNNNNNNNNNNNNNNNNNNNNNNNNNNNNNNNNNNNNNNNNNNNNNNNNNNNNNNNNNNNNNNNNNUAAGUGCUUAGUAGUUGAACUAGUUGAUUUAAUAAAACUACUUUAUUUUACUAUAUAUAGAAGUAGUUUAUUUUUUGUAAGUACUACUUUAUUUUAUAUAGUAAGUGCUUAAUUAGUAGUUGAACUAGUUGAUUUAAUAAAACUACUUUAUUUUACUAUAGAAGUAGUUUAUUUUUAGCAAGAAAAUUAAUAGAACUAGUUUACUUUUAGUUCAAGCAAUUAUUCCCGCAUCGACAUCGACGAUGCCUAUCCCGCAUCCUCGUCGUCGACUCGGCGGAGGAGGCCGGCUUGAUCAGAGGGGCCAUGUCCGGGACUGGGCUCCGCCGUGCUGGUAUUGGGAGGUGCUACCUUCCAAGGGCCGUAGGUUGGUGAGGAGCCAGCCCGUCGUUGACCCGAUCCUUGUUUGGUGGCGGUCGCGUGGGCCAGUGACGGUGCCUAGGCUUCCGGACACCGCGGAGGUGGUAAGUCACCAUGUCAGCGAGGAGGACGAGCACGUCUGUUGCUACAUGGUUGCAUUGGAGGGCAGGUUCGACAAUACCUAGCAGGUUCUUCAGGGAUCUCACUGGAGCUAUGAUCAUGUGAUGGUUCCUUCCCUUUGGGUGUCCACCGCCCGCGCCGAUACCCGUCGGGCGCUACGGUUCUAGCUGUACUAGCGAUGUUAUAUAUAUAUGUAUGAUAGUAUUCAAGGUGUAUUAGUGAUAAUAUUCGACGAUGUACGGACGGAAGAGAUGAUGUAGUUUUGCUUAUAAUUGAAUGCAUGCUAAUUUGAAUACUACUUUAUUUUACGAUUUGGUUUUGCUUAUUGAAUGCUCAAAUUGGAAAACUACUCCUACUUUGAAUGCUAAAAUUGGAGAGCACUAUGCAAGGAGUAUGCAUAUGAUUAGUUGAUAGCUUAUAGGGUUUUUGUUGUCGCAUAAAUCUAGGAGCCCCCCUCCAUCAUCCCCGCCGUCGUCCCCGUCACCGGCCCCCUCCGACCUCGAGGUGAGACCAGCCAAAUCCUUUUUUAGAAAGAUAAUUAAAGAUUCCUUUUAUGGGCAAAAAUAUCUAAUGUUUUAGAUUUUCCAAGAUAAUUAAACGAUAUUUCGGGUUGACUUUAAGUCUGUCAAGUCUCCACCAUAUAUGAGAGGACGAAGAAUCCCGACUGUUGUCGUGGGGUAGCUUCUCCUUCGUUCCCGUGUGCUAGACAAUUUGGUGUAAUGCACUCGGGAACGAAAGGAGGAGCUACCUUCACCGACGGUCACAAAUGUCAGAGAGGAAUCAGUGAGGGAGAGUUCCACCAUAUAUAUAUGAGAGGACGAAGAAUCCCGACUGUUGUAGUGGGGGUCGCUUCUCCUUCGUUCCCGUGUGCUAGACAUUUUGGUGUAAUGCACUCGGGGACAAAUGGAGGAGCGACCAUCACCAACAGCCGAAUGUAUACACCACGUGAGCUGAGAGUUUUCAAGAAAAGACUCGACAAACCAAUAGUCAAGCCGUGAUGAAUAAUAAUGAUCUAAUUUAGUUUUUGUAGUACAUAUAUUUAAUUGUACAAGUUUAAUCUUUGAAUUAUGAACGUAGGAAAUGUCGUCAUCGGACGACGAAAGUCUCCCGGGGGAGUGCGGCUGGUGCAUGACGAUCGACGUUUGUGCGACAGGCCUCACAUGGACGAUGAUUGGCGCUUCAGCAUUAAGCUCGAGGAGACCUUCGAUGUUGAAACGGUACGCAACGGCGACAAGUGUUUUUUCGUAAUUAAGCAUGACUUCAACUAUUUCAAUGUGUAAUUUUCAUCUUUUACAAUUCGAGUAUAGCUUAUCCCAUGCCAUGCAAGACGCUAUGUCUUGGAGAGGAUGGAUUUUGAAGACCAUGAAAAUUUUGAAACGAAGAAAAUUCACCUAAGGACCCAUCAUGAUGUGGAUUUUGAAGUAAAUCUGUAUAAUGCUGAGAGCGUAACCCAUUUUGGUUGCAAAAAUUGGGAAGCAUUUUGCAAGAUGUAUGGUUUUGAUGAGGGUAUACUUGUCACCAUGGAUCUUGGUGAUCCUGACAUUGACCAAGACAAUAUGGACAUUUGGGUCCUUGUUGAUAAGCCUCCAGUUCUACCGCUAUGUGAGUUUCUCAAACAUAGUUAAUUAUUAACUAAUUUAUAUUGUUUAUUUCAAAAUAGUUGACAGCUUAUUUCCAUUGAUAGCUUAUUUUGACUGUUCAAACAAUGUGCGGAACAUGGUAGACAAAACUCACUACACCGAUGGCUCCGAGUUAACUUAUCAGGAGAAAAAUCAUCUGGUCUGAUUUUGUACUGAUCUUGAGAAUUACAAUAUCUACAAUCAAACUCCUCAACAUUAUGGUCAAUACGUGCCAGUAGUGCAUGUGUUGAACUACGGUAACUACCAUGGAGAUACCCUGGUAAGAUUUUUUACUAUUACGACAUCCGUGCAUCUUUUGCAUACUUCUAAAACUAGUACAUCAUUGCUAACUAUGAAGUUAUUACUCCCUCUGUUCCUAAAUGUAAGUAUUUUUAGAGAUUCCACUGCAAACUACAUACGGAUGUAUAUAGACAUAUUUUAGAGCGUAGAUUCACUCAUUUUGCUCCGUAUGUAGUCAAUAGUGGAAUCUCUAAAAAGACUUAUAUUUAGGAACAGAGGGAGUACUAUGUUUUUCAACAGAGAAUCCCAGAGGAUUGUGUGCCUCAUUUGAUGUAUCAGAAUGGCAGCCUUCGUGUUUCGAACAUAUAUCCAGGUCAUCCUACGAAUCUCAACUGUCCAUACCGGAUUUCUAAAAGAAGUGGAGACAUGCUAAUCAGAGAAUGGAAAAAAUGUAUGGACAGUCGUAAGGAGGUUCUUGGAAGCAAAAGGAAGCGCCGCGCAAGAAUUAGAGACAGGAUGAUCUCCAUUCUCCAUAAUGGAGAGUCAGGGUCUAUAUUGUUUUAUGCUAUUUUACCUUAAAUAGGGUAUUUAGGUCCUGCAGAAUACUGAUGAUCAUGUGCUAAGAACAAUUAAGUAGGGUUGGUUCGAUGACUAUCAGGAUGAUGAUCGUAUGACUUGUUAUUAAUAACGAGUAGAGGUUGUAUGAUGAUGAUUAGUAGGACUUGUUAUUAUGAUGAUGCAUGAUGCGAGCAUGAAGAGUUAUUAUAUAUCUGUGGGUGAAAUGAACAUGGAUUGGAUUAAAGUGAAGGCAACAUGCAUGUGGUGCAUGUCGAAAGUAGUACAAUCCAAACUUGAUCAAGUUAGGAUUAGUAUUACUUUCGACAUGCACCACAUGUUGCCUCACUUCAAUCUAAGUCAUCUUUAGGCAUAGCAGUAGUAGUAGCACGGAGAUAAGAGAGGACACAUCUCUCUAUUAGCUACCUAUAACAACCUAAAUUAACCCCCAAAACCCCUAAACCACCUCCUUUCAAAAAAAACCAGCCCCUGAAAUGCUGACGCGUGGAAGCUUAUUGGUCCCGGUUGGUGCUACCAACCGGGACCAAAGGCCCUCCUGCCUGGGCUCGCCGGAGCAGCCACGUGGAGGCCCAUCUGUCCCGGUUGGUAUAAGAACCGGGACUAAAGGCCUAGGGCAUUAGUAACGACCCUUUAGUCCCGGUUCCCCAACCGGGACAGAUGGGCCUUAUGAACCGGGACAAAUGGCCCUUUUCUACUAGUGAAGGGACAUGUUGAUGGUUGCACUCAUGUUCAUACUUGAAGUUGCGGCAUUACAAGAUCACUGGAUUUGGCACUCAUUUUUUUGGCAUGGCAGUUUCUCACAAUCACAUCAACGUGCUUCACCGCUCAAUGGUGUUCCCGAGGAUUUCGAAAGGCAAUUCCCCAGAGGUCAACUAUGAGAUCAAUGGCCACCAAUACAACAAGGGAUACUACCUAGCUGACGGUAUCUAUCCUUCGCCGGCCCGUCCUGCUGCCGGGCGCGAGACGAGCUCGAUCCUGCUGCCGGGCGUGAGACGAGCGAUGGAACGCAACUGUGAGAGGGCCAACCCUUCGAUGAAGGUAGCGCCCGAACGACGAUGAGAGGAAUCGAAGGUCGACAAGGGCACUCACCGACCGACCGACGCCGAAGAAGUCCAGCCACCGCCGUGAAACGACCCAGACCACCGCCAUGAGCCACCACCACGCCGUGGCAGCCCACAUCCACGCCGGGACCCCGAGGGGCAGCCUCGGGCCAUCCUGCAGCAGGAAUGCCACCACCCUCGCCGCCAAAGGUCGCCGCAUGCAAGGGCCGGCCGAAGCCCACACCGCCGCCACCAGCACGAACCACCACCACCCUUGCACCGCCACCCGCUGCCGCACCACCGGACGCUGGCAACUGCCGCCCAAGCCACAGCUGCCCCGCCGCCAGUACCGCCCGCCACCACCUCGUCAGGCCUGCACCGCCAUGCCAGAUCCGCGAUGGAUCUGCACCGCCAACAUGAGACCGCCGCCCACCUCGCAACCAGACCGAAGGCCAAGCCGCGACCCUGCUGCAGCGACCCAUGACGGGCCGCCACCACCUCCCCGCACCGCCCGCAGAUCCCCAACCACCCGAGCCGCCACCACACCAGAUCUGCAGGGCACGCCGCCGCCACACAGCCUCCACAACCGCGCACCCAACCGCGUCGUCGACCCGGCCACGCGCCCCGUCGUCGCUGAGUCCUGGCCGGGCCGCCACGUCCCUCGCUGUGCGCCCCGGCAGAGGAGGAAGAAGGCCCCGCCACCGUCCACCACAAGGGGCUUUGCCCCUAGCAGUGCCUGCCAGCGGCAGGAGGAGAGCCGGGGGCGGUGGAUCCACCCAAGCUGCCCGCGGGGGAUGACGCGGGGGAGAGUUGGGCCGAAUGGCCUCUUCCAGGCCAUUAGCACCCACUUGACAAACAACUAUGCAUGUUCUACUCGCCAAUGAUUCAACAACAUAUUAACAGAAAAGACACAUCUGUGCCGACAAUGUUUAAGAUACCAGGGCGAUGAAAUUGCGGGACAGGACAGACCCUGGUCGGAAAUUUGUAUACAGCUGAAAGCCUGAAACUGCAGCAACAUCUAUCUAGUGCGCAAAGCUUUGACCGAGGGGUGAGGGCGCAGCUUUGUCUCCAGAGGUCUUUCACCUGACCGUAGGAUAACCGUCGCCCGUUGAGGAUUGCAGUGGUUGAAGCUUCAGUUUCGUCAGACUUGAAUUUCCACUCUGAAAAUGAACCACCAUACACUACUGGAAUUAGCUUAUUUGCCGUCUGCAAGUUCUUUGUCGUCUGCUGGCUGACGGCAAAGAAGGUCUUUGCCGUCCGCUUCAGGAAAACGGACGGCAACAAACUGGCUGAUGGCAAAGAAGGUCUUUGCCAUCAGCCAAUUCUUUGCCGUCCGCUAGCGGACGACAAAGAGAGAGGUGGCCCCCGCUAACGAGCUGAUCAUAAAAAACUUAACGGGCCCCCUUCUUUGCCGUCUGCCAGAAAAAAAAGCGGAUGGCAAAGGUGGGGCGGACGGCAAAGAGCUAACCUAACUAACGGCCGAGCCCCACCCCGCCCCUCGAUCUCUCUGUUUCUGUCUCCACCCCGACAACCACCGCCACCCGCCGCCGCCCCCAGCACCCGCCGCCGCCCCCUUGCCCCGCCACCCGCCCAGCUGCCGCCCCCACCACCGCCCUCAGCACCUGCCGCCGCNNNNNNNNNNNNNNNNNNNNNNNNNNNNNNNNNNNNNNNNNNNNNNNNNNNNNNNNNNNNNNNNNNNNNNNNNNNNNNNNNNNNNNNNNNNNNNNNNNNNNNNNNNNNNNNNNNNNNNNNNNNNNNNNNNNNNNNNNNNNNNNNNNNNNNNNNNNNNNNNNNNNNNNNNNNNNNNNNNNNNNNNNNNNNNNNNNNNNNNNNNNNNNNNNNNNNNNNNNNNNNNNNNNNNNNNNNNNNNNNNNNNNNNNNNNNNNNNNNNNNNNNNNNNNNNNNNNNNNNNNNNNNNNNNNNNNNNNNNNNNNNNNNNNNNNNNNNNNNNNNNNNNNNNNNNNNNNNNNNNNNNNNNNNNNNNNNNNNNNNNNNNNNNNNNNNNNNNNNNNNNNNNNNNNNNNNNNNNNNNNNNNNNNNNNNNNNNNNNNNNNNNNNNNNNNNNNNNNNNNNNNNNNNNNNNNNNNNNNNNNNNNNNNNNNNNNNNNNNNNNNNNNNNNNNNNNNNNNNNNNNNNNNNNNNNNNNNNNNNNNNNNNNNNNNNNNNNNNNNNNNNNNNNNNNNNNNNNNNNNNNNNNNNNNNNNNNNNNNNNNNNNNNNNNNNNNNNNNNNNNNNNNNNNNNNNNNNNNNNNNNNNNNNNNNNNNNNNNNNNNNNNNNNNNNNNNNNNNNNNNNNNNNNNNNNNNNNNNNNNNNNNNNNNNNNNNNNNNNNNNNNNNNNNNNNNNNNNNNNNNNNNNNNNNNNNNNNNNNNNNNNNNNNNNNNNNNNNNNNNNNNNNNNNNNNNNNNNNNNNNNNNNNNNNNNNNNNNNNNNNNNNNNNNNNNNNNNNNNNNNNNNNNNNNNNNNNNNNNNNNNNNNNNNNNNNNNNNNNNNNNNNNNNNNNNNNNNNNNNNNNNNNNNNNNNNNNNNNNNNNNNNNNNNNNNNNNNNNNNNNNNNNNNNNNNNNNNNNNNNNNNNNNNNNNNNNNNNNNNNNNNNNNNNNNNNNNNNNNNNNNNNNNNNNNNNNNNNNNNNNNNNNNNNNNNNNNNNNNNNNNNNNNNNNNNNNNNNNNNNNNNNNNNNNNNNNNNNNNNNNNNNNNNNNNNNNNACCCCGACACGCCACCCCGACACCCCGGCACGACACCCCGACCCCCGACACCCUGACAUCAUAUAUUUUUCGAUUUUGUUAUGAGAAACAUCAUAUAUAAUUGUGUUGAUCGGGUAGAUUUAAACAUCAUAUAUAUAUUUUGAUUUUGUUAUGAAAAACAUCAUAUAUUAUUAUUCAUGUCGGUAUUUUUUUAUGUUGUACUAAUUUCGUUUACUCUUUGUCAUGGCAGGUGUUGAAGAUGGUGGGCGCUGGUCGGGAGCGCUCCGAGGCCCCUUCUUCGUCGGCGCGUGGUGGGAGGUCUUCCAUUCCACACGCACCUCUCUGCCGAGCGUUGCUGGACAAUAUGGCGACACCGCCGAGCCCUUCUUCCUCGACAGCGGUGCCCAACAGGGGACGAGGUAAGGGAGGGAAGAAGAGAGGAGCACGUGGUCACGGGAGAGGAGGUAGGGUGACUGCUAGGGCGCCUUCCUCGCCGCCACCCCCAGCUGUUUCACCCGAGCACGUGACUGCUAGGGUGGACUCGUUCGAGGAGGAGGCUACACGGACUCCGGUCCACGAGCCUUUGGCCCAUAAGCCUCGGGUCAACGGGCCUUCGGCCCACGAGACCCCGGAGGAGCACACGUCUGGAUGGGGUACCUGGCCGGAUGAGCCUGAGGGGCCGAGUGGCCAUGCUGAUGAUGGCGGGGAGCCGACUGAUAUUGAGGAGGAGGGGGGCACCGUCUACCAGCGUGGUUGUACACGGCUCCCGUCCGUGCCGGCGACCCGCGAGCAGAGGUGGUUGAUUUACCCUGAUGGGGAGAGGUAAGUGCAUUUAAUCUUUUUGUACCUUCUGCAUUCACGUUUCUUCAAAUAUCUAAUGUGUUGGCCUUGUCAUGCUGUAGGGGCUGGGACCACCAUCAUAGUGUCCGCCGGCUCAACUCCGUCCUUGGAGUGCUUUGCCGGCAAAACUUCCCGGGGUUUGUCACGUUGCCUGGUGAGGGUCGGCUUCCAGAGCUUGGAUUGAGCUGGGAGCACUACUUGGCUGCCCCGGCCCCGCCGGGUGAGAUUAUCGACGGUGUCUUGUGCGACACGAGGGCAGACGUGGUGAUCAGAAAGUUCUGGGUAAUUUCUCCUUUACACAUUUAAAAAUCUUCAACUAGUUAGUUAUUAAUUGUACUAAUCAAUAUUGUCUCAUUUGAUUGCAGACAUUCUACAGGUGUGAGGAGAGAUACGAGGAGGAGGCGGCAAAUGUUAUCGAGAACGUCUGCAAGCGCCUACUACAGAACUUACGGCACGAGGCUCGGGUGCAGGCUGUUCGAGACUACUACGCCUUGCAUGGUAUCAAGAAGCCCAAGCCGGCGUGCCGCGAUAAGUUCCUAAGUAAGGAGCAGUACAUGAAGGUAAUUCUUAAGGCCUUGUACUUACUUCCUUCAUUUAGUAAUUCAUAGCCGUAGCACUCAAGUUUCUAUUUGCUAACUUAGGCGCCUCCGAGAUGGUGUGCGGAUCGGAUGGAUUGUUGGGAGGUGUUGGUCAAUGAGUGGUGCUCAAAAGAAUGGCUAGCCGUCCACAAUGCGGCCAAGGACAAACGUGCCCAAAUGGAAGGUGUGCCACACCAUCAAGGCAGCUCCAACUUAUAUCAGUUCGGGCGAAACUGGGUAUGUGAUUUGCUUCAUGAUUCAUGCAAUUCAUUCAUCAUGCUAGCUUGAGCCCUUUAAUUACUAAUUUACUUUGUUUCUCUCUUUCAGGCACGCUACAAUAAGGCGGAUAAGGUGCCAGAGGUGUACGACCUGUAUGCCAUGGCCCACACUGCCUCUUUUAAGAAAGUCAAGGCAUUCUCUCCGUCUGACCUCGAUGAUGUUGGAAAUAUGCCCUAGAGGCAAUAAUAAAUUGGUUAUUAUUAUAUUUCCUUGUUCAUGAUAAUCGUUUAUUAUCCAUGCUAGAAUUGUAUUGAUAGGAAACUCAGAUACAUGUGUGGAUACAUAGACAACACCAUGUCCCUAGUAAGCCUCUAGUUGACUAGCUCGUUGAUCAAUAGAUGGUUACGGUUUCCUGACCAUGGACAUUGGAUGUCGUUGAUAACGGGAUCACAUCAUUAGGAGAAUGAUGUGAUGGACAAGACCCAAUCCUAAGCCUAGCACAAGAUCGUGUAGUUCGUUUGCUAAGAGCUUUUCUAAUGUCAAGUAUCAUUUCCUUAGACCAUGAGAUUGUGCAACUCCCGGAUACCGUAGGAAUGCUUUGGGUGUACCAAACGUCACAACGUAACUGGGUGGCUAUAAAGGUUCACUACAGGUAUCUCCGAAAGUGUCUGUUGGGUUGGCAUGAAUCGAGACUGGGAUUUGUCACUCCGUGUAAACGGAGAGGUAUCUCUGGGCCCACUCGGUAGGACAUCAUCAUUAUGUGCACAAUGUGACCAAGGAGUUGAUCACGGGAUGAUGUGUUACGGAACGAGUAAAGAGACUUGCUGGUAACGAGAUUGAACAAGGUAUCGGGAUACCGACGAUCGAAUCUCAGGCAAGUACUAUACCGAUAGACAAAGGGAAUUGUAUACGGGAUUGAUUGAAUCCUCGACAUCGUGGUUCAUCCGAUGAGAUCAUCGAGGAGCAUGUGGGAGCCAACAUGGGUAUCCAGAUCCCGCUGUUGGUUAUUGACCGGAGAGUCGUCUCGGUCAUGUCUGCAUGUCUCCCGAACCCGUAGGGUCUACACACUUAAGGUUCGGUGACGCUAGGGUUGUAGAGAUAUUAGUAUGCGGUAACCCGAAAGUUGUUCGGAGUCCCGGAUGAGAUCCCGGACGUCACGAGGAGUUCUGGAAUGGUCCAGAGGUAAAGAUUUAUAUAUGGGAAGUCUUAUUUUGGUCGCCGGAAAAGUUUCGCGCAUUAUCGGUAUUGUACUGGGAGUGCCGAAAGGGGUCCGGGGGUCCACCAGCCCCGGGGGGCCACAUGGGCUGUAGGGGUGUGCGCCUUGGCCUAUAUGGGCCAAGGGCACCAGCCCCAAGAGGCCCAUGCGCCAAGAGAUAAGGGAAAGGGAGAGUCCUAAAGGGGGAAGGCACCUCCGAGGUGCCUUGGGGAGGAUGGACUCCUCCCUGGCCACACCCUUCCUUGGAGGAAGGGCCAAGUCUGCGUCCCCCCCUCCCUUGGCCCUAUAUAUAGUGGGGGGAGGGAGGGCAGCAAUACCCAAGCCCUGGCACCUACCUCUCCCUCCCGUGACACAUCUCCCUCCUCCCGCAGCGCUUGGCGAAGCCCUGUUGGAAUCCCGCUACUUCCACCACCACGCCGUCGUGCUGCUGGAUCUCCAUCAACCUCUCCUCCCCCCUUGCUGUAUCAAGAAGGAGGAGACGUCGCUGCUCCGUACGUGUGUUGAACGCGGAGGUGCCGUCCGUUCGGCGCUAGGAUCAUCGGUGAUUUGGAUCACGACGAGUACAACUCCAUCAACCCCGUUCUCUUGAACGCUUCCGCUCGCGAUCUACAAGGGUAUGUAGAUGCACUCCUUCCCUCUCGUUGCUAGUAAACUCCAUAGAUUGAUCUUGGUGAUGCGUAGAAAAUUUUGAAUUUCUGCUACGUUCCCCGACAGAUGAUGCAAACAACUUCACCAACAUCUCCUCCCACGACAAGCUCGUGAAAUAUAGAGAUGAGGGGAAGGCGAGGAAAGGGGAGGCCUUUAACCCGAGCCAGGGUCCCAUUGAUCCAGAGCUGGUGAUGAUAUCUGGUGGCGGGAGGUCCCAUGGCUCCAUAGCCAUUGGAGAUGGACUUAUCCGUUGUCCUAGCACUCUCCCGGAGAUCAAGGCGCGCCAGUCGAGCUCCGCUCCUGAGAUAAGGCCUCGUGAACGGCCAGUCCAACUCGCCAUCAAGGUUAGUUAUACGUACUCAGCUAUCUUUCUCCAUUACAUUGUGUGUGCUUCCAUCAAUGAUUACAAAUGGUAACGAGGAGUGGUGUUGCAGGCUGCUAUACAGAGUGAGAGAGAUAGAACGGAGAAUCUUCUGGCGGAGGCGGUGGAGAGGCAGCGGGAGUUGGAGGAGAGGACGACAAAGAUGUUGGAGGAGGAGAGGGCACGGAAUGACAUGCAGGCAAGGGCCAUGUACGAGCUCCUUGUGGUAAGUUUCUUCUGCAGAUUAGCCAAAACAUUUAUGCAAUGUUUGUCUCAUUACUAACUAGUAUGACUGAGUCGUCAAAACCAAAUGUGCAGUCUGUGUGCGAGAAGACCGGUCAGACCGCUCCGCCGAUGCCAGUGAUUGCUCCUGGGACCACGGUGAGUUUAAUUUGAAUGGACAUUACUUGCUAGUCUUAACAUUUGAGUGUCAUCAUGCUAACGAGACAUUGGAAAUGAUCUUUGGUGCAGCGUAACUCCAGACAAGCAUCGCACGAUCCUUCUCCAGCUACCGGCACGAGCCAGCUCGCUCCUACACCUCCAUGAUCAUGGUAAGUUUCUCUAGUGUUUUGCUUAACAAAUGCAUAAAGACCUAGACUUAGCCUUAUUUCCUCCAAUAUGCUUACCACAAUGACCUAGACUUAGCAUAAUUAGCUUAGUUAGCUCAUAAACAAUCCAUUUUACCCAAGUUAGCUCUAAAAUGACCCAUUUUACCUUAGUUAGCUCAUAAAUGAUCAAUUUUACCCAAGUUAGCUCUAAAAUGACCCAUUUUACCUAGACUAGCUCCAAAAUAAUCCAUUUUACCUAUGUUAGCUCUAAAAUGACCCAUUUUACCUAGGUUAGCUCCAAAAUGACCCAUCUUACCUAGGUUAGCUCCAAAAUGAUGCAUUUUACCCAACUUAGCUCUAAAAUGACCCAUUUUACCUAGAUUAGCUCAUAAACGAUCCAUUUCACCUAGGUUAGCUCACAAACGAUCAAUUUCACCUAAAUUAGCUCAUAAAUGUCAUAUAUUCUUCUUCUUUUUCAUUUUCUUCUUCUUCUUCUUCUCCAAAAUGACAUAAGUUAGCUAUAAGUUAGCUCUAAUAUGCUUAGUUCACUCAAAGAUGGCAUAAUUAGCUAGGUUGGCUCCAUUUUACCUAAGUUGGCUCUAAUAUGCUAAGUUAUCUCUACUAUGCUUAGUUUCCUAUAGGUUAGCUCCAAAAUUACUUAUGUUAGCACAAAAUGACCAAGUUUACAUAAUAAGCUUAAUUAUAGUCUUCUUCUUCUUCUUCUUCUCCAAAAUGACAUAACUUAGCUCUAAUAUGCUUAGUUCACUCAAAGAUGGCAUAAUUAGCUAGGCUGGCUCUAUUUUACCUAAGUUGGCUCUAAUAUGCUAAGUUAUCUCUAAUAUGCUUAGUUUCCUAUAGGUUAACUCCAAAAUUACUUAUGUUAGCACAAAAUGACCAAGUUUAUAUAAUAAGCUUAAUUAUAGUCUUCUUCUUCUUCUUCUUCUUCUUCUUCUUCUAGUAUUCUUCUAGUCUUCUUCUAGUAUUCUUCUAGUCUUCUUCUUCUUCUUCUUCUUCUUCUUCUUCUUCUAGAUUAGCUCCAUUUUACUUAAGUAUGCUUACUUCUUAUAGUCUUUUUCUUCUUCUUUUUCUUCUUCUUUUUCUAACAUCUUGUUUAUCAUUUUGCAGAUUUGAUUUAAUUCACGAAAGCUUGCAUGGAUGGAGUGCUUCUUUUCCAUUUGUGCUUUUAUAGAUGGAGUGCUUGUUUGGAUGAACUAUGUUUCUUUUGUAUCGAUGAACUAUGCAUGUAUGGUAGGAUGACACUAUCGUAAUAUGUAUGGUUGGAUGCAUGUAUGUGGAACUUGCUAUGUAUGGUUGAUGGAACUAUGCAUGUAUGAUGAAAUUAUAUGUGUUGGAUAUCUCAUAUGUUUGCUGUGAACUUGCCAUGUGAAAAAUAUAUAUGUAUCAUCUAUUGCUGUGAAAAUGGUUGGGUAUAAGAAAAAACAGAAAAAAGAGGCAAUGCAGGCUCUUUGCCGUCUGCCACCGACGGCAACGGGCUCUUUGCCGUCCGCCGCGGACGGCAAAGAAGCCACGUGGCAACCACCUGUGCUUCCUGGCAGCUGACCCAUUUGGUCAGUUUGCCUACAGUGGCAGACAGCAAAGGCUUGACAUCAGCGGCGGACGGCAAAGGCUGCCGUUAGACGCCUAACGGACUAACAGCGAAUUUAUUGCCGUCGGCUUUCUUUGCCGUCCGCCGCUGAUGGCAAAGGCCCUUUGCCGUCCGCUUCAGAAAGCAGACGGCAAAGAAGCUCUUUACCGUAGCCUACUUUGCCGGAGCCUUUUGCCGUGCGCCAUCCUUGCCUUUGCCGUCUGCCGGAUGGCAAAGUAGCUGAUUCCUGUAGUGAUACCUGCAUCUUUGACUUUCUUAUGGGCGCAAAUGAGAUUGUGAGAACGACAACCACAACUCUGCUCAAAGACAACCAGCAAUGUAUUUCCCAAAACACCCUGAACUUGCUUUUACAGAUUAUUACAAUUCCUCUACUAACCUAGUACUGUAGACAUCAUUAACUCAACUAGUAAUAAUGUAUUCCCUCCGUCCCAUAAUAUAAGAACGUUUUUAACACUACACUGUCAAAAUCCCCAGCUCCUGAAUCACUGCUAUGAUUACCACGCCAUCCAAGUGCAGUAUAAGCAUCAGUCAUGCAAACCAUACCUGCUAGUUUACUGAAACUGAAAUUAUCAGGGAACUCGUGAACCAUCCCGACUUGCUUGCAUACUGCAGGUCAGGCUUCCAUUACCUACAAUACCGCAGCAUUUUCUAGGGAAGCAGUUACCCACAACUUGAACUCUUCUCUAGAGAAUUUUGGUUCAUGAGGCCUUUCAUUCAAAGCUUCCUAUACACUCACUUCCCUCUGGGAACGCAAGUAAAACACUGACCUUGUACAGCUAGGAAUCAACAAGUUCCUGGAGGACAGUCUGACUGACAACAAAUUACACCUGCCCAGAUUCUCUAAGGAUUCAUUCCAAAGCUUGCCCAGAUCUCUAGUGGCUAAGACAGUCUGUGCCACUUCCUACUCACUUCAUUCACUGCCACUCAAUGUAAAAUAUUUGGAGACCAUGACAUCUCUAAUGCAACCGAUACAGAGGAGCUAACCGCAGUUCCCUCCACAUUUUCUCAUCCGGGCUUGGGACCGGCAAAGGCAGUGUUAAACUACUCCUACUUACACACAAAAAACGGCAAACACUACAAACAAUUAUAUUCAGCUAAGCAUACAAGCCACGCAAUCAACAAAGGCUUGGCACGACACAUGAUUGGCAAUAAAUAUUCACGCAACAUUUUCACAAGAUCAUAAGACAGACGGGGCACAAACAAAGAAUGCCAUAAAUUCCAGAACCUGAAUGGGAGUAACUAAUUUAUCUAGUGGAAUGAGCGUGAUUCAAAUCUUCUGCACAGAGAAAGCUUUCGUAGUUUUAUGCCAUUAUAGGGUCAGAGGACCAUAAGAUGUGUGAACAGAUACUUCCGUGUCUUUAAAAUCUAUAUAGGAUUGUAUUAUGUAGUAUGAAACAGAAUGGGUCUGUCUAAGUUUCAAUUUAAGAAUAUGUAGUCGGCAGGAAUCAUCAAAUUAGUACUUUGCUAGUUACCAACUAAAUUAAAACUAGGAAGUUGCCAGAAAAGUAAGGACAUGUAAUUAAAGAGAAUUAUGUGGUUAGAAUCCAGAUCAAAUUAGCAGUUCGCCAGAAAAGAAGGUCAAUUAGCCAUUAGAGGACCAUAAGAUGCGUGAACGCUAUGAAAUUAUAGAUUCAUAUAUUUAACAAUAUGUAUGAAGAUUCCAUAAUCCAUAACAAAUUAGCUGUUCGGCGGAAAAGAAGGUCAAUAGCCAUUGAGGACCAUAAGAUGUGUGAACAUAUGAAAUUAUUAUAGAUUCAGUAAGUAUGUAAUGGAAGAUUUCAUAAUAUAGAUAAAAUUAGCCAUUGGAGGACCAUAGAGAUGUGUGAGCGCUGUUUCUUUAAAUCCAGGAUGAAUGAAGUAGGAAACAAAUUUCCAUAUGUCGAAAGUAAUCAGCAGGAUUCAUCAUCAAAUUAGCCAGAGUGUUUAGGGAUCAUCAAAUGCCAGACUGUUUUGCUAGGAAGUUCCCCAGCAAACCGAGAAGAUGCAUGGAAGAAUCCAGAUCUCACUGGAGAAGCACCAAUGAGAAGAACAUCACUGAAAAUCAACUCCAUACCAACAAAUCAGAAUCAUAUUCAGUGGACAUGAGUGGAGUGUUCAGGGCAAAAUAUUUGUUCAAGCCUCCAGUUCAGAACCUUCAACUCUCCAUUGUUUUAGUAUAUGUAUAUAGCAAUAACUCCUAACCUCUUCCUGUAUACCAAGUCAUCAAUAUUACCAAACUACAGGGGGCCACUACUGUUAAACCAACACAAGUGCGAGGGUGGGAUCUUUCUUUAUCACCAAAGUUAACAAUAUGUGCACACCAAAAUUUGAUUUUGUGCCAUAAGAAGAACCUAAAGAACGUAUAUAAACAAACCAAGUACAAUCAUGGACAAGAGUAUGUAGAAUAGUAGACUGACAAAUCCACGUAUGACCAAUUCACAUAUAUUCAUAUAAUAUGCUUAACAUUUUUACUGCAUUCAGAGCUCAUGUACAUGCGAUCUUUACUUCCUAUUAGGUGACAAAUUUGCAAGUUGAAAGAUACAAGCAGCCAAAUACCAAAACCAAACUUCAUGAAACAGUAUGGUAACCAGGUAAUUAAUAGCCAAGUCAAACUUUGAUAAUCUGCUAUACAAACUGAGUACGAACUGAUAUUUCCAUUUUGGACCCUUGUUUGAGACUUCUAGCAUUUUCUUGAUUCGAGCAAAAGAUAAGAUCAUAUUCCAUCCAAACCACAUGCAAGUUGAAUAAGAUACCGUAACCAGUAGGAUGGCACAACAGAAACCAAGUAAGAUGCUUCAGGACAGUUGAAAGAAUCAUCAGAUGUGCACACUACUAACUCCAAGCUGCACCAAAGAUAUGAGGCCACUGAAUGCAAGUUCAAACUGAAAACUACCACAAAGACCAAAUCAUUAUGCUUCAGGAUCAGUAAUCAGAGGUCAAAACCAUCAGGGAAGUCCAUUUGCUACACCAAGUCCCCGCGCUAACUGACUAUCCAACUCUACAAUCUUGCAAUAAAACCUCCAACAAUGCAAAUCAACCCAAAUAUAAUCAGCAUACUUAAAAGUUCUUCAAGGAAAGUCAGACCAUAGUGAAAUCUGGUAAAUAGUUGAAACAGGCAUAGAGUCCAGGUGUAAGUUUUUGUGGUUGAAGAAGAUUCCGAACGAAUCGAAGAACUUAAUGUAUAGCCACUCAAAUCUGACGUCACCAAGCACAGAUGAGGAAUCCAGUAAACCAAUGUGACGAAACAUGAAACUGACCUGCCUCGAGUCCCCUCCACCAUACGUUCACAACCCACAAGGAGCUUUACUUCCAGACCAGAUCAAGAUCCAGUCCUGCAAGCCAAAUUGUAGAGGCGGCGAUAACAAAUGAAACAAACAGACCGUCUACGAGACACUGACCUGACUCCAUGUACAGAGCAAAGGUUUGGGCCCAAACUCCUAAUAAAAAUUAUAUAUUGCCAACCCACACACGCAGAAGACCAAUAAAACAGGGAUCAAGAGUUUAGUCAUUGCCCACAUGGCCUGGGCUAAAGAAAAAUCUGCAACCAUAGGAAGGGCAGGGGCAAAAACCUAUGUCAGAGAGAUGGCCAAGUAACUAAAUGAAAUUAAAAAAAAGGAAGGUAAGAGUCUUUUUCGGUUGUAGGAUGUGCCAUUAGUAGGCUCUAGAUCAUCUUAUAUAUUCGUGCUGCAUAUGAAUCUGUAUUUAAAAAUUGUCUAGUAAGAUAAUUUAUAGGUUAUGUAAGUUGCAAUGAAUUGAAACGACACUGUAGAUUUCGAAGAUCAGUAGACGGAUUCAUCAUCAGGCUGGACAGGAGUUUGUCAACUACAACCUGCAGUGAGCAAGACACCGUUUCUAUAAAAAAAAUUGUUAGGGGAAAUGCUUCUUAUAAAUAGCUAAAGCAUGGAUGAUUGAGUGGGAACAAGUAAAGCCUGUCUAGGGUCAGGUAUGGAUGAUGGAGGACAACAACGCAGGUUCCAAACUGCAGUUAUAUCCUUUCCAAGUCAGUAUCUGCAAGAGCUGAUAAUUACUAAGGCAAAGAAAACCUAAUGUCUAGAGAGUUCAAUUAUAGAGUAAAAAAGGUUGAGAAAGUUUUUAGCCACAGAAGGAACCGCCAUGCCGAGGAAAAAUAGGACGCCUUCUAAGCCAUAUUAUUCCAAUUUCUGGAGAGCCACCAAGAAAUAGUUUAAAUCAGAAUUGUGGGAAACCAAAACAGAACAGUGGAGAUGAAAGAGUAAAACAGAGGAAGUGAUAAUUAUCCAAACACAGAGCAGCAAGAUGCGUCGCUCCCGCUACGCCAUAUAAUUCCAAUUUCUGGAGAACCACCAACAUAUCCAAAUAUAUCCUGCACAUAGGCCCAGACUUCCUAAAUAUAUCCUGCAACUGAUACACGCAGAAGACCAGGGAUCAAGAGUACAAACAACAAAUCGAUCCAGAGAGAGAGAGAUAGAUCGCAAACCAAACGAUUUUAACAGAUUCCAACUCACUACCAGCAUGGUUUGGGCUUAAUCUGCAACCAAAGGGAGGGCAGAAGGAAAAACCUAAAUCAAAGACAUGAACAAGUAGCAUAAGAGGUGAGUUAAAACUGGAGCACUCUUUUUCAUUGUAGGAUGUUCCAUUAGUUUGAAUCUCCAUUGUUGAACCUUGGCAGAUAAUUCUGAAUUCAAAAUAUUGUCUGGUAAGAUAAUUUUGAAGGCUGUCUAAGUUCUGAUGAAUUGAGAAAAUAAUAGAUUUAGAAGAACUGCAAACGGAUUCAAGUCAGCAUCAGGUUGGACGAGUCAUCAACUAUGGCCUGCAACGAGGGAGAUACCUUUCUAUAAGUUAUAAGAGGAAAACUAGGCUCAGCUAAAGCAAGCAUCAAAUGUUGAGGUAAAGGGUAAGUAAGCCUGUCUCGGCUGGAAAGUCAGGUAGACAACACUGGUUCCAAUUAUUUCGCUCCCAAGUCAGCAUCUGCAAGAGCUGAGAAUUACCAAUCAAGGCAAAGAAACUAACAUUUGAAAGUUCAAUUAUCAAGGGAGGAUAAAAGGUCGGAUAUGUUGGGCCACAGAAAGAACCGCCAUGCCUUGGAAAGAUAGGACCACCCGCUAAGCCAUAUAAUUCCAAUUUCUGGAGAACCAGCAAAAAUUCUAAAUCAGAAUCGUCGGGCAACUACUUGAGCUAUGGAGAAGAACUUAAACAGAGAGAGUAAUGAUCAUCCAAGUGCAGGUCAGCAAGAAGAUAGGUCGCUCCCGCUAAGCCAUAUAAUCCCAAUUUCUGGACAACCAGCAACAGAUCCAAAUCAGAAUUGUCGGAGACUAAAAUUGAAUUGAGAAGGAAUUAAAUAGAGGGGUUCGUAAUCAUCCAAAUGCAGAUCAGCAAGAAGAUAGGUUGCUCCUCCUAAACCUUACGAAGCCCAAUUUCUGAAAACCACAAACGAAUACAGAUCAGAACUGCCAGGACUAAAUUGUACUGCGCAAACCAAAUAAAUUGAAUCGGGACAGAAUUCAUUAUCCAAACGCUGAUCGCAAGUUCUAGGUUCCAAAACUUCAUUAUCCAACCAAUCAAAAUGAUGAACAGAAACCAAAUCUCCACCAAUUAACCUCAAUUUCUGGAAAACCACAAACGAAUACAGAUCAGAACUACCAAGGGCUAAGUUGUAUUGUGCAAACCAAAUAAAUUGAAUUGGGACGGAAUAUAUAUUAUCCAAACGCAGAUCACAAGUUCCAGGUUGGUAAGAGAUCCAAAGCUUCAUUAUCCAAUCAAUCAAAAUGACGAACAGAAACCAAAUCUCCCCUAUGAUUCAUCUGUGCAGAACUACUACACUCCUGCAUCUGCUGCAAGCAAAGGAGCACAAACACACACCAAAAACGCGAUCAGCUGCUACAAUAAGAAUCCACCAGGACCUCUCUAAUCCACCUCAUAUUAGCUGAUGAUGAAGAAACAUGUGAUGAGAACCAGGAGACCACACAGGCGAUAGCCAUUCAAACCUGACCUGCUCAAAUCCCCUUAACAUACAACACCACAGGGAUCUCCACAUUCCAGAUCCAAUCCUGCAACCAAUGUGUGGAGGAACAGAACUAAACCAAACAAACCGUUGAUAGAACACUGACCUGACUCACUGUACAGAGAUUUUGCUCAUAAGCACAAACUUCCUAAAUAUGGCCUGCAGCCGACAGGAUAAGAGUACAUAUAACAAAUCGAACCGCAUAGAGGUAGAUUGCAAACCAACCAAUUUUAACAGAUUUCGACUCGCUACCAAGUACCAACACGCUCUGGGCUAAAAUAAAUCUGCAAUCACAGGGGGGCAGAAGCAAAAAAGCCUAAAUCAAAGGCAUGAACAAGUAGCUACGUGAAAUAAAAAUAAGAGGCAAGAGUUAAAAAUGGAGAAGAGUCUUUCUGUUGUAGGAUGUGCCAUUAGUUUGAAGCUCCAUUCUUGCGCCUUUGCAGAUGAAUCUGAAUUUAAAAUAUUGCCUAGUGAGAAGAUCUUAAAGGUCAUCUAAGUAAUAAUGAAUUGAUUGGAUUUAGAAGAACUGCAAACAAAUUCAACUCCGCAUCAGGUUAGACUUUGCGUUUGUCAAACCUGCAACGCAUGCCGAGGCUCAGCUAAAGCAUGCUUCAAAUGAGGAGGUAAAAGUUAUAAGAAAGUCUUGUCUGGGAAGGUCAGGUAGACAGCACCGGUUCCAAUUAUAUCCCUUCCAAGACGAUGUCUGCAAGAGCUAAGAAUUGACAAACUAAGGCAGAGAAAACUUGUCUGGUGUGUUCUAAUAAUAAUUAUAUUAUUGAGUAAGAAAUACUGUUGAGCCACAGAAAAGGAACCGCCAUGCCGAGGGAAAAGAGGACCACUCGCUAAGCCGUAUAAUUCCAAUUUUCUGGAGUACGAGCAACAAAUCCAAAUCAGAAUUGUGUGGAGACUAAUUGAACCAUGGAGGAAAGGAAAUAAACAGAGAGAGAAUGAUCAUCCAAACACAGGUGAGGAAGAAUGACAAGUCGCUCCCAGUAAGCCGUAUAAUCCCAAUUUCUGGACAACCAUCAACAAAUCUAAAUCAGAAGCGACUAAGAUUGAACUGUGUAGAUGAAGGAAGUAAAUAGAGGGGGUAAUAAUAAUCAUCCAAACGCAGAUGUUGCUCCCGCUAUGCCGUGUAAUCCAAUUUAUAAUUUCUGGAGAAGCAAAGAAUUCAGAUCAGAAUUGUUGCCGUUGACUACUGUGCAGACCAGGAAACUGAAGUUGGGAGGGAUUUAAUCAUUUAUCCAAACGCAGAUCGCUGGUUCCGGUUGGUAAGAAAUCCUAGGCUUCAUCACACGAGAAGAUCUGAACCUAUCAGGAUAACCGCUGAUCCGUAACCAAUCAGAAUAACCGCUCAACCGUAACCAAUCAUCAAUCAGAAUAACCAUGAAAAGAAAUCAAACCUCCACCUCUGAAGAACUAGCGCGCCCUCUGGAUUCCUCUGCAUCUAGGGUGAGAGCACAAGACAUAACAAAACCGAGAUCAGCCGGUACAACAAGAAUCCUCCACGAGGGCCUCGAAUUAAUACACCUCGUACCAACGGAUGAUACGGAAUAAACCACAGCGGUCGGGGAACCAGAAGAUCGCAAACUUUUGAAAUCUGGAAUCACGGAUGAACGCAGAGGAAGCGGUCUGAACGAGCACGGGAAACUGACCUUGCCUCGGCCUCCGGCUCCACAAUCAGAGCUCCAAUUCCAAAAACCAGGCUCGACGAUCCUGCAACCAACGCGCGCGGAUGCGGACACGAAUACGAGGAACACAGGAUCCACGGUUGCAAACAGAAGCGGACACGCGACUCUGAGAUAGACUCGCAAACCAAAAUGAAUGAAUCCCCGAUCGAUCGCUUCCCGGGCUCGCCGGAUUGGAAUACCCUGCGAGCACAGCAAGGCAACGGCGACGGCGAGUGAAAUCAAAUCAAACGCGAUUCGAAACGAAUCGGGAAUUGAUGGACAAGGGGGUGGAAACAGUCGCCGAGGCGCGAGGAGGCGGCUCGGGCGAUCGAGGGCGGAGGCCCGGCCGGAACGAAAGCUCCAAAGGAGAAGAGAGGAGGGCAGAGCGCGGGGUGGAGGGGGCGCGCCUGUGGCGCCUUUUGUAGCCGGCGCAGAGGCGGUGCGGGAGGGGGAACCAACCGAUUCCUUACCGGACACGGCUUCGCCUCGCUGGCGUGCCCGGCCGCGGGUUAUCAGGUGGGCGGCGGAAAUCAAACGGGAGAGGAGCUGGUGAGACCGGGCUGGAAUCCGGGCUUGGUUCGGUUCGGUUCGGGUGGGGCGGCUGGCAGGUCGGCAAAGCACCGGGUUGGGACGUGGGCCGCACCGACGGAACGCGAAAUUUCUAGGCUGCUCGCUGCUCUCGGGGGUUGCGACGGGCCAUGUGAUGUGAGAUGCCGUGUGUGGCUGCCGUUGGUUGCUGACCGUGUCCGCGAGUGCGAGCCGCGACGAACGCGUGGAUGGGAUGAGAACGUGGAACAGGCGGUGCCGUGGAUGAGAACGUGGUCCGCGGAAAUAUCUGCCGUGUUUACACAAUCAACGUGCUCGCUAGCUUUUUUAUUUUUUAUUAUUUUUAGAAAAUGAUAAAGAAACAAACCCUAAGAGCAACACCAACCCGCCGACCCAAACGGAUUGCGCUUUUACCCGUUUUUUGUUUGUUUGGGUCGGUCUGGCGGACACCCAUGUCCGCUUUCGCGUUGGGGUCGCCGCUUGCGCUCAACAUUGGCCCGAUCCAUUUUUCAGCCGGCGCGGACAAGAAAAAAUCCCGCAAACAUUUUAAAAAAUAAAAACGUUAAUUAAACAUUAAUGACAGCCACAAAGGUCAGCGAGAGUCCAUGAGUCCACUAUUACAUUAAGUAAAAUAUUAAAUGACACUACAAACUACUAGGAGGCGCGCUGCCCUAGGCGUCCUCGUCAUCCUCGUCGGGGCCGGUGAGGUCGAUGGGCGUCGGCGCCGGGCCAGCCCACGGGAAUGCCGUCGACCAGGACAUCGUCCGCCGCCGGCUACGCUGGCCCACUGCGGGCAAGGCACACCUCCUCCUCCGCGUCGCGCUCCAGCUGCUCGAGGUACUCGCCCUCGCGGCGCUCCUCGGCCGGCCUCUGCUGCCGCCAUUGCUCGAGGUACGCCUGCUCCUGCGCCGGCAUCGCCCCCAACCAGACCGGUGACGCGCUGACCCACUGGUGCACCACCCCAGUCCAUGAGUAGCGCUCGACGGGGGACAGCGUGUAACGCCCAUGAUGCGGCUAUAUCUCCCACGUGUCGGGGCACGACUUAGAGGCAUAACCGCAUAGUGGUUUUGUCGCAAGAAGGGUCAUCUUCACACAAUCCCAUGUAAUGAACAAGAAUGGGAUAAGGAGUUGGCUUACAAUCGCCACUUCACACAAUACAUAAAUAUCAUUCAUACAUCAUCCAAAUAACAAUCAUUUAGACCGACUACGGUCAAAAUCCAGAUGAAAAUAAGACAACCCUAAAUGCUAGAUCCCCGAUCGUCCCAACUGGGCUCCACUACUGAUCAUCAGGAAAAGACACAUAAUAACGACCACGUUCCUCGUCGAACUCCCACUUGAGAUCGACGCCAUCGUCUGCACUGGCAUCGUCGGCACCUGCAACUGUUUUGGUAGAAUCUGUGAGUCACGGGGACUCAGCAAUCUCACACCCGCGAGAUCAAGACUAUUUAAGCUUGUAGGACAAGGAGGAGUAGAGAGGUGGAGCUGCAGCGGCAAAAGCAUAUAUGGUGGCUAACUUGCGUAAAAGAGAGCGAGAAGAGAAGCAAAGGAACGGACGUCAUCUAGCAAUGACCAAGAAGUGAUCCUGAACACCUACUUACGUCAUACAUAACACAGACCGUGUUCGCUUUCCGGACUCCGCCGAGAAGAGACCAUCACGGCUACACACGCAGUGGAUGUAUUUUAUUUGGGUCAAGUGACAAGUUAUCUACAACCGGACAUUAACAAAUUCCCAUCUGCCUCAUAACCGCGGGCACGGCUUUCGAAAGAUAAUACCCUGUAGGGGUGUCCCAACUUAGCCCAUCAUAAGCUCUCACGGUCAACGAAGGAUAAACCUUCUCCCGGAAAGACCCGAUCAGUCUCGGAAUCCCGGUUUACAAGACAUCUCGACAAUGGUAAAACAAGACCAGCAAAGCCGCCCGAAUGUGCCGACAAAUCCCGAUAGGAGCUGCACAUAUCUCGUUCUCAGGGCACACCGGAUUGUCCAAGCUUCCGAUAGGCCAGUCCAGAGUUGCCCCUGGUGGCCACCGGCGACUGACAGUUUGGACCAAUACUCAGAGGAGCACUGGCCCGGGGGUUUAAAAUAAAGAUGACCCUCGGGCUCUAGAAAACCCGGGGGAAAAAGGUAUAGGUCGCAAAUGGUAAAACCAAGGUUGGGCCUUGCUGGAGGAGUUUUAUUCAAGGCGAACUGUCAAGGGUGUCCCAUAAAUCACCCGACCGCGUAAGGAACGCAAACUCAAGGAACAUAAUCCCGGUAUAACAGUAACUAGGGCGGCAAGAGUGGAACAAAACACCAGGCAUAAGGCCGAGCCUUCCACCCUUAACCAAAAUAUAUAGAUGCAUUAAUUAAAUAAGAGAUAUUGUGAUAUCCCAACAUAUCCAUGUUCCGACAUGGAACAAACUUCAACUUCACCUGCAACUAGCAACGCUAUAAGAGGGGCUGAGCAAAAGCGGUAACAUAGCCAAACAACGGUUUGCUAGGAGAGGAUGGUUAGAGGCUGACAUGGCUAAAAUGGGAGACAUGAUCUAGCAAGUGAUAGGUAGCGGAGCAUGGCAAUAGAGCGAACAACUAGCAUGGCAAAGAUAGAAGUGAUUUCGAGGGGUGGUCAUCUUGCCUGCAAGAUUCUCAGAGUUGUCGAAAGCUUGAUCCUCGUAAGCGUACUCGACAGGUUCCUCGUUCACGAACUCGUCUCCCGGCUCUACCCAAGACAAGAACACAAACAAACGGAACCACAAUCAACAACGAGAAAUGCGCAAGCAACAUGACGCAAAACAUGUAUGAUAUGCAAGAUAUGAUAUGCGAUGCGUAUGCGUGCUCCGGAAGGAAAAAGAUGAACAUGGCAGUAACUUGGCAAACCAAGCAUGCCACUGGAAAGAUGAGAUGAUUUCGGUCGAAAUCGAUAUAAGGAUCACCGGAAUCGGAUGCACGGUUUGCAAAUGGCAAGCAAAACAGGAAUGACACGAAUCUGCGAUUAACAGCAUGAUAGCACUCAAAAUGCAACAAGUAACAAUGCUACAGCACCCCAACAUAGCAAAAAAGCACAUGGAAGUAAUCUACAGGAGAUGCUUGACAAAAGAUGAACAACAUAUCAAGUUCACAACAUAUCAAGUUCAAACAAGCAUGGCAAAAGUGCAAAAGAUUACAGGUUCACAGACUUGGUGAAAAACUGGACAUGGCAGAAAACAGCAUCAGGUAGCAAUGUUCAGAGCACGAAAUCAACAUGCUACAGGAACUUAACAUAGCAACACAAGGCAUGGUAGUGUUUUACUAAAUGCAUAUGACAAAAGUCCCUUACUGACCAUAAGCCAAAAAGGACCAGAAGAUAUGAUGGCAAGCAUGUAAACAUAGCAAGUUUCGUUAUCAGGUUUCAGACUUAGCAGAAAACAGAGCAUGGCAGGAAUAUUAAUAUGUAGGCCUCUUUGUGAGCUUGAUGCACUCACUACAGAGCAAUGCAUGACAAACCAAGCAUACCUACAGCAAGAUGGCAUGUUUAUGAAGCUAUCCAUGGAAAGAACAAUUGCAUAGCAUAUAUGGAUCAACUACAAUAAGCUUGGCAAAAAUGCAUGUCAUGUUAAGAAUCUGCCAGAAAUAUUUUAUAGCAAAAGUAGAGCAAGAUUGAGUCAUGCUAUGGCACUCCAUAAUUGCAAACAAUUGCAGGAAUGGAUCAAUUACAAUUAUAGCUACAAAACAUCCUUACUGAACAUCUCCAAAAUAUGCAUGGAUCUCUCUGUAGCAUCAAGUUUACAUGGCAACAAAAUUACAGCAGACGAGCAUUAAGUCCCUGAAAUCAGAAUUAUUACGGGGCCUACUUUGCAUGCUUGUUCUAGUCACCACAGAGAUCACAAAAAUACAUGGACUACAUCACUGGAAAGAUGGCAUGGCAUACUUCAAAACACAUAUAGAGCUCAUGCUCAAAAGAUGCACAGAUUUAAUGAUACAAAAAUGACAAAUCUCCAAGUUCUGUCAAGAACCAGAGAAUAACAGCAACUAGCCCUCUUCCAACGAAGAUUUGGGCAUCAAGAUGACCUCCAAUGAACAUGGCGCAAUUGAACAAAAUGAAGAGCAUCACGAGGCGAACAAUUUGACAUAUUACACGCGCGAAUCGGAGCUACAUGCACAGAGUUAUCGCAAUACAAACAGGAGCACAUGCAGAUAAGAUUUUAUGACGGGAAAAAAACGGACGUGAGGGAGAGGUCAACGGGGCUGUACCAGAUCGGAUCUCGCGAGGCCGAGCUCGAGCUCGGCCGACGCCGACGAGGCAGGGAGAGGGGCUCCGGCGGGGAGCGCCCGGAGGAGGGCCCGGCGGCGGAGGAGGGGCGCUGGAGGGUGACGGCGGCGGCGGGCGGCGGCGGCGGCNNNNNNNNNNNNNNNNNNNNNNNNNNNNNNNNNNNNNNNNNNNNNNNNNNNNNNNNNNNNNNNNNNNNNNNNNNNNNNNNNNNNNNNNNNNNNNNNNNNNNNNNNNNNNNNNNNNNNNNNNNNNNNNNNNNNNNNNNNNNNNNNNNNNNNNNNNNNNNNNNNNNNNNNNNNNNNNNNNNNNNNNNNNNNNNNNNNNNNNNNNNNNNNNNNNNNNNNNNNNNNNNNNNNNNNNNNNNNNNNNNNNNNNNNNNNNNNNNNNNNNNNNNNNNNNNNNNNNNNNNNNNNNNNNNNNNNNNNNNNNNNNNNNNNNNNNNNNNNNNNNNNNNNNNNNNNNNNNNNNNNNNNNNNNNNNNNNNNNNNNNNNNNNNNNNNNNNNNNNNNNNNNNNNNNNNNNNNNNNNNNNNNNNNNNNNNNNNNNNNNNNNNNNNNNNNNNNNNNNNNNNNNNNNNNNNNNNNNNNNNNNNNNNNNNNNNNNNNNNNNNNNNNNNNNNNNNNNNNNNNNNNNNNNNNNNNNNNNNNNNNNNNNNNNNNNNNNNNNNNNNNNNNNNNNNNNNNNNNNNNNNNNNNNNNNNNNNNNNNNNNNNNNNNNNNNNNNNNNNNNNNNNNNNNNNNNNNNNNNNNNNNNNNNNNNNNNNNNNNNNNNNNNNNNNNNGGCGCGGGUGACGUGGCGCGCUCCGGUUGGCCGGGCGCGAGGCGGACGUUGUCCGGCCGGAGCGGACGAGUCCGGCGCGGCGCGGAGGGAGAGGGUUAGGGUUUCGUCUGAGAUUUCGUUUUUCGGGAUGCCCACUUAUAAAUAGGUAGAGGGAGCUAGGAGGCUCUAAAUGAGGUGCGGUUUUCGCCCACACGAUCGUGAUCCAACGACCUAGAGCAUGGAAGAGAGUUUGGUGGGCUUUGGGAUGGUCUUGGAGGGGGUUUUUGCUGGACACUCAAAUGGACUUGGCGGAUGCCCGGUUAACCGUUGGAGUACCAAACGACCUCCGAAUGGAACGAAACUUGACCGGUAGUGUUGAGGAUAUAGACCUGGGGGUCACCCGCCAGGAGGGCCGGGUUACUCCAAGGAUCAUUACCAGAAGCCCGGAGCUAAGUUUCAGGAUAAUGGGCCAGAGAUGGGCUGAGACCCGAAUAUGGCUUAAAGCCCGUAGUUACAAUCAUUGUUAUAGUAGACUUGUAGUGUAAGGCAAGUAUUGUUUUAGAGCCCGAGCCGGACACUCUUAUGAGCCGGCCGGGACUCUAAGGGCUGCUGGGCAUCAGCCUCCCUAUAUAAAGGGACGACCCGGCAGCGGUUUGGGGACGACAACAAUCUAUCCGAGAGCCGGGAUAAGUGUUUAGUUCCCUGGCGAUCGUAACCCUAAUCAAUAACACCUCGAACUGGACGUAGGCUUUUACCUUCACCGUAAGGGGCCGAACCAGUAUAAACCCUCGUGUUCCUUUUCCCGCAUAACCCCUUCAAGCUUCCUAGUUGCGAUGGCUCCACGACUAAGUCCUAGCCCAAGGACAUCUGCCGUGACAAUUCCACGACAGUUGGCGCCCACCGUGGGGCGAGCGCACGGUGGAUUUGAGUUCUUGAAGGGCAGCUUCGAAGGGCUCAAGGGAUACGCUGUGGGCCGGAUGACCAAGAGUCGUCGCGGCAGGCUCUACAUCGACGACGCGGGCUGGGGCCCCGACGCCGGCUCAGUGGAGUACGGGUACCGGGUCCCCUUUGGCGGAAUUCAUGUCUUCAUUGGCAAGAUUGGUGAGCCGGGCCCCGAGCCGGGUCUCUGCGCCGAUCUCAUCGAAACGGCUCAGCGCGCCCGAUCCGCCCGGGCCCGGCCUGCCUUAAAACGCGCUUUUGUGGGAUGCAUCCAUGGAAGGCCCUCCGAUCCAUCUGGGUCUGGGGAUGAGGCGGCCGCCGGCUCUCACGGCGAGUCGGCCGCUGAUGAGUCAAACUCGUUGUACCAACUUCAAGAUGGCAGGCUCAUGAGUUAUUCCGAUGGCAACAGUAUUCCGGACCUUUUUGAGCCGCCAAGUCAGGUCGGAGUUUUUAUGGCUGGUGCGCAGCCUGUUCAGAACCCCGCUACCGGAUCAGAAAAUCCGGAGCCUUCCCCGGCUCAGGUGCUGAUGGAUCUCACAGAUAAGAUGACGGCCCUGUUAACUGCCACGGUUGACCCGGCAGAUCAAGCCCAGCAUGACGCGGAGGUGGCACAGUUAAAAUUGGAUCUGAUGAAAGCAAAAGAGGAUCUUGCAGCAGAAGGGAUCAGGCUGGCGGCGGAGCGGGCGGCUCUCGACGCCCGGGCUCAGUUGAUUCAGGCGCAGUCCUUCCAACUCACGAUGGAUCAGAACGCGGCCAACGAGGUCAUGAGAAGGAGGCAUCAGAAGGCCCAGUCUCGACUCCCGCCGGUUUACGAUCCGCGCAAUCUAUUCAACACGCCGGGUGCGGGAUCCAGUAACCCACCAGGGGUCAUUGCGCCCGGGUCGGGACCCCUUAUUCAGCCACUAGUAAUGGGGCCUCCCCAGGCGCCCCCUGCCCCGCCUAGUAUGUGCCAAUACCCCUGGGUCAUUACGAUAACCCGCUGGAGAACAUGGUAGCAGCGGCAGCACGACUGGCGGCUCUUCCCGUUGACGGCAAUUCUCCGGCCGCCGUGGAAACCCGCCGGGUCAGGGAACUCCUGCAGACGGCCCUAGCGCAGCAAGAGGCGUACUCCUACAGCCGGGACAGGAUCCACUCAACUCCUCGCCCAGGCCAGAGCCCGAGCUACAGCCGGCACAUGGUCUCGGCGACCGGCUCAAGUAAUGUCCGACGCCAUGGCCCGGCUCAUGUUGGAACCUUCUACGCCGCAGACCGAGCACGGCAAGAGGCGGAGCAGGUGCCGCAAUUGACGGCUUAUCAGACCCCCCCGGCUUAUCCAACGGCGUCCGUUGAUGUGGGUAUUUCUACCAGGACCGGGGGUGUCCCUUGUUUGGUGCCGGCCAUCCGUAAUGAACGUUUACCUAAGGAUUUCAAGGGCCCUAGGAAGGUGCCUAACUAUACAGCUGACUUACAGCCUGCGGCCUGGAUUGAGAGUUAUGAGAUGGCCAUGGAACUGCUAGAGGUCAGCGAGGCGGCCAUGGCCAAAUAUUUCACCAUGAUGUUAGAUGGAACAGCCCGCACGUGGUUAAAAGGGCUGCCACCGAACUCCAUUGGGUCUUGGACUGAGCUGAAGGCCCGGUUCAUUCAAAACUUCAAGGAUACCUGUAGGCAGUCUAUGUCAAUUGUGGAUUUGACUAACUGUAAGCAGCAGGAGGGCGAGUCCACGACCCAUUGGGUUCGCCGGGUCAAGGAGAUCAUACAUUCAUCAGAUAAGAUGGACGCCGGCUCUGCAGUCUUGAUGUUAGAACAGAACUGUCGUUUUGUGCCCCUAAAGAUGAAGCUUGGGCGGCUUAAACGUGACUGCACGGAUAUGGGUACACUAAUGGCGGCUCUUGUCAAAUACGCUGAUUCCGAUGGUACCAAGGAUCCCCCUUCAGGUGAUGAAAGGACAGGGAAGGGAAAGAAGAACGGCAAUGGAAAGAGCCCUCAGUUUAACCCGGGGAAUCAAGGAGGAGGCAAGCGCAAGGCCGAUGGCAGCCUGGAGUUCGUAGCCAACACCCAAGGCAACAACCAGCGACGCAAGGGGAGGCCCCCUCCCCGAGGCGGCGGGUCAGGACCUUCUCUGGAGCAGCUGUUGAAUGAACCUUGUCCGAGACACGGCUCUAGAGAGAAGCCAGCGACUCAUCUGUGGAAGGAUUGUGCUAUCAUGAAGGCCUUUAAAAACUACAAUGGCCCGGGCGGCGGCCCAGGCGCAGGCGGCUCCGGCGCUGGCGGCUCUCAUGGCCCGGGUGGCGGGUCAAAUUCCGGUCCUCAGAACGGUCAAGGGGGCUUCAAUCAACAGUCUGGUCAGGGUCAUCAACGGCAACAGGGGGGUUAUCAGACCAACCCGAAGCAACUUAGCGGUGGACAGUAUCACGUGUUCACCACUAGUUUGUGCAAACGAGACGAGAAGCUUCACAAGAGGGCUGUUAAUUCUGUUGAGCCGGCGGUUCCACGCUACUUACGGUGGUCGGAGCAGCCCAUAGUGUGGAGUAGGGAGGAUCACCCUCCCCGGGUGGAUAACCCGGGCCACCUGGCCUUAGUAGUGGCUCCUCAGGUGGGAGGCUAUAAGUUCACAAAGGUACUCAUGGAUGGAGGCAGCAGUAUCAACAUCCUCUAUUAUGAGACUUUCCGUCGUAUGGGGCUAGUUGAUAAGAACCUCAGCCAGUCAAAUACUAUCUUCCAUGGUGUGGUACCCGGUAAGUCGGCUUAUCCAGUCGGCAAGAUCGAAUUGGAAGUGGCUUUUGGUGAUGAAAACAACUACAGGGUGGAGAAGUUGACCUUUGAGGUGGUCAAGAUAAGAAGUCCAUACCAUGCUAUAUUCGGACGGCCGGCUUACGCCAAGUUCAUGGCACGGUCGUGUUAUGUGUACUUACAGCUCAAGAUGCCGGGUCACAAUGGGACCAUUACAGUUCACGGCAGCCGGAAGGUGGCUCUGGAGUGUGAGGAAGGUGACGCGGCUUAUGCAGAGUCUGUUUGUGCCACAGAAGAGUUGAAAUUUUAUAAAGACAAUGUUGACCCAACAGAUAUGACCUCUCUGAAAAAGCCAACCACGGAGAAUGAACCAGCAAUGAAGUUUAAAUCAGCCGAUGAGACUAAACUUGUUGAUUUUGUUCCAGGUGACUCGUCUCAGCAGUUCAGCAUCAGUGCAAAUCUGGACCCGAAAUAGGAAGGCGCGCUCAUCGAGUUCAUCCGUGAGAAUAGGGACAUCUUUGCAUGGAAACCUUCUGACAUGCCAGGUGUACCUAGAGAACUCGCUGAGCACACUCUCAAUGUGGAUCCAAAAUUUAAGCCGGUCAGGCAGUUCCUUCGACGGUUUAACGAAGAGAGGCGGAAGGCUAUUGGUGAAGAAGUGGCCCGGCUUUUGGCGGCCGGGUUCAUUGUUGAGGUUUUUCACCCAGAGUGGUUGACUAACCCGGUGCUCGUACUUAAAAAGAACGGCACCUGGCGGAUGUGUGUGGACUACACGGACUUGAACAAGGCGUGUCCGGCUGAUCCUUUUGCUCUCCCCCGCAUCGAUCAAAUCAUUGACGCCACGGCAGGUUGUGCACGCUUAAGUUUCUUGGAUGCUUAUUCCGGGUAUCAUCAGAUUAAGAUGGCAGUUAAGGACCAGGAGAAGACGGCGUUCAUCACUCCCUUUGGAGCCUUCUGCUAUGUGUCUAUGCCCUUUGGACUCAAGUGUGCACAGGCGACUUACCAGCGUUGUGUGCAGAAUUGCCUUCAUAAGCAGAUCGGGCGCAAUGUUCACGCUUACGUGGACGACAUUGUGGUUAAAUCCAUCAAGGAGGAAACCCUGAUAGAUGACUUAAGGGAAACCUUCGACAAUCUCCGGGUCUAUAAGAUGAUGCUUAACCCGGCCAAAUGUGUUUUUGGUGUUCCUGCAGGCAAACUAUUGGGCUUCUUGGUUUCUGACAGGGGCAUUGAGGCUAACCCAGAGAAGAUCAAAGCUAUCACUUCUCUAGCUCAGCCGGCAUGUAUAAAUGACGUUCAGCGUUUGGCGGGUCGCAUCGCUGCGUUAAGCCGGUUUAUAAGCCGUUUGGGUGAGAAGGCUAUGCCUUUAUAUCAAUUGAUGAAGAAAACUGAUAACUUUGUCUGGAAUGAUGCAGCUAAUACCGCCUUCGAGGAUUUGAAAAAGCAACUGGCAGAGCCCCCCGUCCUUGCUACUCCGGUUGAUAAGGAGCCCUUGCUACUGUAUGUAGCGGCAAACGCACGAGCUGUCAGCGUGGCUAUUGUGGUGGAGCGCAAGGAGGCAGGUAAGGAACAUCCGGUUCAGCGGCCGGUUUAUUAUGUCAGUGAGGUGCUCAUUGAGUCCAAGCAGCGGUAUCCGCAUUGGCAGAAGCUCGUAUAUGGGGUAUUUAUGGCGAGCCGGAAGCUUAAGCAUUACUUUCAAGGGCAUCCCAUCACUGUGGUCAGUUCCGCCCCUCUCGGUGAUAUUAUCCAGAACAGAGAGGCUACAGGGAGAAUUGCUAAGUGGGCUAUAGAACUUGGACCUCAUGACCUCAAAUAUGUGCCACGCACUGCUGUUAAGUCUCAGGCCUUGAUAGAUUUCAUCAAUGAUUGGACAGAGUCACAAGUACCCGAGCAAAAGCCGGAUAACACUUAUUGGACUAUUCACUUUGAUGGGUCCAGGCAGCUGGAGGGCUCGGGGGCUGGUGUGGUCUUGGCUUCCCCUAAAGGUGACAAGUUCCAUUAUGUGCUACGGUUGAUGUUUCCUUGCACUAAUAAUGCGGCUGAGUACGAGGCUCUGCUCCACGGUCUUCGGGUGGCUAAGGAGAUGAGCUUAAGCCGGCUGAGGUGUUUUGGUGACUCAGACUUGGUGGCUCAACAAGUAUCAGGCACCUGGGAUUCUAAGGAUCCUCUAAUGGCGGCUUAUCGCCGCAAGGUUGAUGCCAUUGCCGGGCACUUUCAGGGAUAUCAAGUGGAGCACAUUGACCGCAGGAAGAAUGAGGCGGCUGAUGCUUUAAGCCGGCUCGGCUCUCAGCGAAAGCCGGUGCCGCCUAACACUUUCCUGGAUGUCCUAUAUAACCCUUCGGUUAAGUUGCCUACAGAGGAGGACUUGGCUAUCCCUGACCCGGAGGCACGACUGGUGGCGGCUCUUCAUAUCACACCAGACUGGACAAUGCCAUAUCUGGCUUAUAUAACCCGGGGAGAGUUGCCUGAGGAUGAAAUUCUGGCCAGGCAAAUAACCCGGCGGGCUAAGUCAAUGAUUGUUAUCGAUGGCGAGUUGCAUCAUCGCAGUGUUUCAGGGGCAUUCCAGCGUUGUAUCUCCCCUGAGGAAGGUCAAGAGAUCUUGCGCGAGAUCCAUGAAGGGGAUUGUGGCCAUCAUGCCGGUUCAAAAUCUCUUGUGGCCAAGGCUUUCCGUCAUGGUUUUUAUUGGCUGACGGCUCACGCUAAUGCAGAGAACUUGGUCAGUAAAUGUGAUGGCUGCCAAAGGUUCUCCCGACGGGCUCAUGUGCCGGCUCAGGAAUUGAGGAUGAUCCCGAUCACUUGGCCCUUUGCGGUCUGGGGGCUUGAUAUGGUCGGGCCUUUUAAACGGUCCAAGGAUAAGAAGACUCACCUCUUGGUGGCAGUGGACAAAUUCACGAAGUGGGUGGAAGCUGAGCCAGUUAGCAAGUGCGAUGCAGCCACGGCGGUCCAAUUUAUGAAAAAGGUGAUCUUCCGCUUCGGCUUUCCACACAGCAUCAUAACAGACAACGGCACUAAUCUGUCCAAAGGCGCUAUGGAGGAGUUUUGUCAAAGAGAGCAUAUCCGGCUUGAUGUCUCUUCAGUGGCACACCCCCAAUCCAAUGGUCAAGCUGAGAGAGCUAACCAGGAGAUUCUGAAGGGCAUUAAACCCCGGCUCUUGGUCCCUUUGCAACGGACGCCAGGUUGUUGGGUGGAGGAGUUGCCCUCCGUUUUAUGGAGCAUCAACACUACUCCUAACAGGUCUACAGGCUUCACGCCUUUCUUCAUGGUUUAUGGAGCAGAAGCAGUUCUCCCCAGCGACAUCCGUCAUGAUUCACCUCGUGUGGCGGCUUAUGUUGAGACGGAUAAUGAACAGGCGCGCCGAGAUGCUCUGGACUUGCUGGACGAACAGCGUGAUGUGGCAGCCGCCCGUUCAGCGAUUUACAAACAAGACCUGCGCCGUUAUCAUAGCCGCCGGGUCAAAUCCCGGGUCUUCCAGGAGGGCGACCUGGUGCUCCGGCUCAUCCAGGAUCAAACAGAUGCACACAAGUUAUCCCCACCUUGGGAAGGGCCUUUUGUGGUCAGUAAGAACUUGCACAACGGGUCAUAUUACCUCAUUGAUAUCCGGGAGCAUAAGGACUCACGUAAAUCUGAGGAGGAGACCCGUCGGCCGUGGAACAUAGCUCAGCUUCGGCCUUACUACACUUGAGCUUCCGACUCUUGUGAUGUACAUAUUUAUCUCAGCCAUGUAUAUAUUAUGAUAAAGCAAUAAAGCAGGACCUCUGUCCUUUGCUCUCUUCCAAAAAUGUGUGUUGUUACAUGCUGACUUACAGAAGAUCCGGCUUAUGAUCAUCUUCGAAUCUAGCUGUAAGCAGUAAAGUCGCUUGGGGGCUUCCUGUUCACACAUGGGUCGUAUUCGAACCAAAGAGAACAUAGCUGUCGAUACCCAUUUGAUUGGCAAAAUGCCGAGCUCAUUGGGAAGUUGCCUCUGGUCAUAUUUGAAUCAUAGUGUAACCCCUCUGAGAACCGACGUGGAUCGUAUUCGAAUCAGCGUCGUUAAACAAAUUUUCAGAAUCACUUGGGGGCUUCCUGUUCAAACAUGGGUCGUAUUCGAACCAAAGAGAACAUAGCUGUCGAUACCCUCUUGAUUGGCAUCGCCAAACCCACUGGGGGCUAUAUGAUCGUAUCCGAAUCUUAGCUUAACCCCUUUGGACCGAGUUUCUGGUCGUAUUCGAACCGGAAGCCCUUAAGUUUUUAUAUUUUACCACAAACUUGCUUUGAUCAUGUCAAAGUAUGUACUGCCGGGUUUCACUUGCCGGCUUAAUUUUGGUUUAUCUUGUUAGUUGAGCAUCAUGGAUGUCAUCAAGACAAAUAAAUUCGAGUUAAGGUACCAACCGUGCUACCCGGGCUAUUUAACCCGGAAGUAUGCUUACAGGCUGUUAAGUGUGUCAUCACAGCUAUGUUCGAGUAUAGUUAAGGACCGAUCUUUUUUGGUUCGUAUCCCGGGUUAUCCAUCUCAAACACCUGAUUCUCAGGGCGGUAAGCCGCUUUGCGUCUUGUAAUUUGCCUUUCUAUGCAGAUAUUUAAAGGCACUUUUUAAGGUUGAGAAGGACAAAGGGAUAAUUCCGACCCGGAGGAGCAUCAAAAGAAUGACUUCAAAGGAUUUCAGCAUUCAUUACGUGCACGAUGGCACGGCAGAGAUAAAUUGUUGCACCUACUCUAUUACAAAAAUCUUUCAAAGUUUCAAGGAUGGGCGUUGUUUGGUGAGCCGCUAGCCGGUUUAUGACGCCUGCUGAGUUGAAGUCCCCGGCUCAUCUUCUGCUUCGGCUGAUCCCAAGGCUUCGAAGGUCGACGACUUGCAGUUGAUGCCGCUGAGAGCUUCGAACUGAGCUUCUUCGUUAAUUAACCCAUCCGGGUUAAUCUCCGGGGCAAAGGUGUGCUGGCGAGCCGGAGGAAUCAGAUUGAUGGCUUCAUAGCGAGGGGUUGGAAUCCUCUGAUUCUCCGCGUUGUAUCCCGGCUGAUACUUGGUUAAAUCGGUGUCGUUCCCGAUGAUGGUGGCUACCGGGCGCACAGCUUUCACACAAGCCGCGAAGUCCUUCUGGUCGAACGCUGAGCCGUCUUCUUUCAGGCUGGGAUAACCCAGGGCGAUGUCUGCCGGGUCUAGCUCCGGCAAGAAGGCUUUGGCCCGGCUCAGUGCGGCGAUUGCUCCGGAUCUCGCGGAUGCUCGUCGUAGCUCCUGGAUCCGCUGCGGCAGAACUGCAAGCCGGCGCAGGACUUCGGCCAGAUGAGUCGGCACUUCAUUCGACAGGGCCACCACAGCUAAAGCCCGCUGUGACCCGGUGUAGAGCUGUUCCACCAGGGUGUACACGGCCUUUAACUUGGUGACCACGCUCUGGUUCAAGUUGGCGCUUCUGGAACCUGUUUAACAACAUCAGAUGACCCGGUGGUAAGGAUGAGUUAAGAGAUGUAAAUAUUCCAAUGUGAAUGAAAGCCGGUGAGGCGACUUACCGAAGAUGGCAGCUACCAUUUGGGACACUUGGCGCUUUAGACCGGAGAGCUCAGCGGUCUUCUCAGUAAGGGCCUUCUCCGCCUGUUCUGCCCGGGUCACCAGUGCAGUUUUCUCCUCAGCCCAGGCCUUCCGCUCAGCGUCGAAUUCAGUCUUCAACUUUUCCUGAGCGGCGAUGCUGGAGACAAACUUGGCAUUUGCCUUCCGGGUCUCCAUCUCUUGUGCCUUCAGCCGGCUCUUGAGAUCCGCCAGGUCUGACUCUAAUUUCUUGCCAACAGACUGCAUAUAUUUCCGGGUUAUUAACAGUCAUCCUAUAAAGUCCCAAGCGCUUUCCAAGCAAAGACACUUGGCACUUGGGGGCUAAUGCAUAUUGAACGUAUCUAUCUAUGUACGGCCGGCUCAGUUCAGUAAGCCGGAAUCUAAAGUCUACAACAUAUUCAAGUAUAAGUCCUAGACUUGGGGGCUAGAAUGGCAAGGAUCACUAUGCGGAAAGUAAGAGAACAGCAGAAGGUUACCUCAGAUUUGUGUUGGAUCUGGUUGACCAUGGCGAUCUCGGCGUCCCGGCUCUUGUGAACCUGGCUGAUAUAGCUUGAGACGAGUUCUCCAAUACUUAAGUCGGUGUAGCUGGAGAGAUCCAGAUUCACCCGGUGGGGUUGUAGCAACUCCCCCCUUGCGGAGCAUUUGGCCAGCGCGGUCGGCCUUCCCGGCUCAACAAACUCCGUCCGGGUAAUUACCACGUCCGGGUCAUUAGCUGGUGGGGCUUCAGGCGCCGUAUCCAUGGGAAUGGUGGCUUCAGGGGUGGAGGCGACUGGCGGCUCUUGAGCCGUCGUCUCCGGCUCAGGCAAGUCGGGCACUCCGGCUGACCUGGUCUUCUUUACUCUUUUGGUGAGCUUUGCCUGGGCACUGAAAAGGCAGAAGUGUUAGGCAUACAAAGGGUAAGUACAGACAGAUAAUGUAAGGAGAUUGUUAUUACCCGGGGGCAGUCUUGAAGGCCGGCAGACUUGACUGCAUGGAGUCACCCGAGGAGGGGGAGGUCUCCUGAUAAUUGGAGUCAGAAGAGUUGAGUGGCUGACGGAUGACACCCGCCAACGGAUGAAAAGGGUACAGGUGAGCAAAAACCUCAGUGCGGCGUUUCCUCGUUGCGUCGGGUAACCCAGUGGAGAGGUCGGUGUCCUUGCGGGCCCGGGUGUGACGCCGGCUCUCGUGAACCUGCUGCUUCAAAAGAAAUUGAGGGUCUCGGUGAGCUAAUCGAUGGGAAAAGCUUACUUUCCGGGUUACCCUUCGGACUUUCAGCUGUGGUAAAGGCUCCGAGCCGGAGGAAAGUGAUGUUACCUCUUCGACCACCGGGUUACUGGCGCCGGUGUCAUCCUGUCAAUAAGCAAGUGUUGAUAAGGCGGACAGCAUCAGACAACAUAUACUGCAAGAAUUUAAAAGAUUUAAGGGUUACCUCUGAUUCGGAGCUAUCGCUUAAUUGCAGCAGCUCCGAAGCAGUGGGUCUGUUUCCCUUUUUGCGAGAGGCGGCUCUCUUGGCGGCUUUCUUCGCCUUCCUGGCCUUCUUGGCCGCCUCGUGGUCAUACUUGACCCGCCAGAAUUUAUCAUCAGCCUGAGAAAUACAGUAAUGAGCUCUUAGUAAGAUGACAGGUAAAACAAAAUGGAAAGGUUAAAGUCAGCGGCUUACCGCUGGGGCUGGAUUGGUCUUGCAGAACGGGGCUAGCCCGAUUCUUCCACAGUCUGCCAGGCUCUCGUUUAAAAGAGCCUUGGUCUCUUCUUCAGCAACGUCUUCUGGAAGAUCAUUGCGACUGUGCCUCUGCGGGUCAUCCUUUCGCCCGGUGUACUCACACAUUAAGCCGGGGCGGCGGCUCAAUGGGAUCACCCGCCAUGAGAUCCAGACCCGGACCAGGUCAAUUCCGUUCAGACCAUUGCCUAGCAGGGCUUUGAUCUUGUUGAUCGUUGGAAGCAGAGGCUGGCGUUCUGCGGCAGUCAGUUUGUCGGAUAAUGGAUGAGUUGGCUCCAGGCGCGUUGGGCGAAAGCCGGGCAGCGGGCUCUCAUCAGCCGGGGACGUGUCUUGGCAGUAGAACCAAGUCAUGUUCCAGUCCUUGGGGUGACUUGGCGGUUCUGCAUAAGGGAACAGACAAUCCCUGCGCCGUUGGAUGGAGAUGCCGCCUAACUCUAGACUUGGACCGUUUGCGCACUCGGUUUGGCGGUUCAAAUAGAACAGCUCUCUGAAGAGCAGCAGACUCGGCUCUUCUCCAAGAUAUACUUCACAAAAAACUUGGAAGUUGCAGAUGUUGGAUAUGGAAUUGGGUCCUAUAUCCUGAGGCCUAAGAUCAAAGAAGUUGAGCACAUCCCGGAAGAAUUUUGAGCCGGGCGGUGCGAAGCCCCGGCUCAUAUGGUCGGCAAAGAUCACUACCUCCCCGUCUCUCGGCUGUGGCCUUUCUUCGGACGGGUCAGGGGCACGGUAGGACAUCACUUCCUUCUUAGGCAGAUAUCCGGAUUUAACGAAGUUGGCCAGGGUCUCUUCGGUGACGCUGGAUUUCAUCCAGUUGCAAGUGAUGGGAGCCUUGGGAGGCAUGGUGACGGUUGGUGGUCUACGAGGAAGAGAAAAGUGUCCGGGUUAAUUAUAAGCCGGAGUAUAUCAUUCAAGUUACAAUGACGGCUUAUGAAGGGGACUAAUGGUAUGUCUUGAUACGGUGGGUUAUCUAAGCCGUCGGGGCUUUCAGGAUAAGUUGGUCGUCUACGGCUUACUGCGGUUAAGUCGGAGGAUACUACAGAGCAUGAUUCUCUUUAAAUCGGAAAGUUCUACGGCGCGUGUUUUCUCUAAGUCGGAAAUAUAAGCCGCCAAGAUUCAAGGACUGCAGUUUUUACUAAGUGUGGUAAACAGAUUUCACAUAUUACAGUAACUUUUUUGGAUCAAAGUAGUCGGAGCAGAGAAAGUUUUCUAGACCUAAAAAACAGAAGCAGGGGAGGUUCUUGAGAUGGAACCCAGUCCUUAUGCAGUAAAAAGAGGUGUUCUUGCAGAAGAAAUGACCCUCAGAUAUCUACCGCGGUGGUUCUACACAAGCCUAAGGAUCAACGGGGGCAGUGGCUACAGGGGUUACCGAAACUUGCGGUAACAGUGAUGAACAUGAAGAACACAGAUGAACUCUGUCUUAGAUCUAUGCUAGUAAGGCAGAGGGGACUCACCGGAGCUGGAGAAGAGCGGAGGUCGCCGACGUUAUCUGGUCCGAGUCAGGUUGAUGCAGCGGCCGGGUUGAGGAAGACCAGGGGUGCGACGGCGGCGGCGGCAGAAGCUCGGGCAGAGGAACGGCAGUGCGAGGAAGAAGAAGGAGAAUGUGAAGAAGAGAGUGCCGGGCCGGCCUAUUUAUAAGGCCGAGUCAUAAGCGGGCGCGGGAUUUGAGGAGGCCACGGCGUGGUUAUCUCCCCCCUCACGGCGCCUCGAUUCUCGGAAGGUCAGUAAAAGCAAAGAUCCGUUGCGGAUCUGGCGGAGUAAAGAACGGAUUUAGUGCAGGAUGACGUCACGGCGGAUUACCCGGAGUCCAGAGGAUGACGUCACUCCGGGUUAUGACCUUCACAUGAAUGAUAAGCCGGAGCUUUUUUCUGACUGCGGAGCUGAAGAUUGACACGAGCCGGCUCAAGUCAAUCUGGGGCCUAAUGUUGAGGAUAUAGACCUGGGGGUCACCCGCCAGGAGGGCCGGGUUACUCCAAGGAUCAUUACCAGAAGCCCGGAGCUAAGUUUCAGGAUAAUGGGCCAGAGAUGGGCUGAGACCCGGAUAUGGCUUAAAGCCCGUAGUUACAAUCAUUGUUAUAGUAGACUUGUAGUGUAAGUCAAGUAUUGUUUUAGAGCCCGAGCCGGACACUCUUAUGAGCCGGCCGGGACUCUAAGGGUUGCUGGGCGUCAGCCUCCCUAUAUAAAGGGACGACCCGGCAGCGGUUUGGGGACGACAACAAUCUAUCCGAGAGCCGGGAUAAGUGUUUAGUUCCCUGGCGAUCGUAACCCUAAUCAAUAACACCUCGAACUGGACGUAGGCUUUUACCUUCACCGUAAGGGGCCGAACCAGUAUAAACCCUCGUGUUCCUUGUCCCGCAUAACCCCUUCAAGCUUCCUAGUUGCGAUGGCUCCACGACUAAGUCCUAGCCCAAGGACAUCUGCCGUGACAAUUCCACGACAGGUAGUCUCCGGGUGGUAUAUUAAGACCACUUGACAAGCCUCGGUCCAUUCCGAGAAAGUUUGACACACGCACACGAAAGAAAACAAGAGGGGUGCACCGGAGGAGAUAGGAGCGCCGGAUUGGAAAACGGACAACGGGGAAAAUGCUCGGAUGCAUGAGACGAACACGUAUGCGAAUGCAAUGCACAUGAUGACAUGAUAUGAAAAUGCAUGACAUGACAAAAUACAAAACGAAAGACAAAACCCGACAACGGAGGGAAAAUCAUAACACAUAGCCGGAAAUGGCAAGAGUCGGAGUUACAAAUAUGGCAAGUUACAUGCGGGGUGUUACAACACUCCACCACUACGAGAGGAUCUCGUCCCGAGAUCUAGGACUGAAAAAACUCCGGAUAUUCGGAACGGAGAUGGUCUUCGCGUACCAGGUGGCUUCCCGGUCGGAAUGAUGCGACCACUUCACUUUCAGGAAUUUGAUAGACUUGUUGCGAGUCUUGCGCUCAGUUUCUUCAAGAAUAGCAACUGGGUGCUCAUGAUAAGACAAAUCUUCUUGGAGGUCAAUCUCUUCGAAGUCGAUAGUGCGCUCAGGCGUCUUGAAGCACUUGCGGAGCUGUGACACGUGGAACACAUCGUGCACGUUCGCGAAGUUGGAAGGAAGCUCAAGUUGAUAGGCGAGGUCGCCUCUUUUGCCAAUGAUCUUGAAAGGACCCACGUAUCUAGGGGCAAGCUUCCCUUUGAUACCGAAGCGACGAGUGCCUUUCAUUGGAGAGACGCAGAGGUAGACAUGGUCUCCGAUCUCGAAAGCCAAAUCACGGUGCUUACUAUCAUAGUAACUCUUCUGGCGCGAUUGCGCGGCUUUGAGAUGAUCACGGAUGACUUUACACAUUUCUUCAGCUUCAGUGAUUAAGUCAUUGCCAAGAAGUUGGCGUUCACCAGUCUCUGGCCAAUUGAGAGGAGUACGGCACUUUCUGCCAUAGAGAAUCUCGAAUGGGGCCUUGCCCGAACUCGCUUGGAAGCUGUUGUUGUAGGAGAAUUCAGCAUAUGGAAGACAAUCUUCCCAUUUCAUGCCAAAGGAAAUGACACAAGCCCUGAGCAUAUCUUCAAGAAUUUGAUUGACUCGCUCGACUUGGCCACUAGUUUGAGGGUGAAAAGCUGUGCUGAAGCGAAUAUUUGUGCCCAUGGCCUUCUGGAAGGAGUCCCAGAACUUAGAGGUGAAGAUACUUCCACGAUCUGAAGAAAUCAAUUGUGGAAUGCCGUGCAAGGAGACAAUUCUGGAGGUGUAGAGCUCUGCCAGCUGAGCUGCUGUGAUGGAUUCUUUGAUAGGAAGGAAAUGAGCCACUUUAGAGAGCUUGUCAAUGACAACAAAGAUAGCGUCAUUUCCGCGCUUGGACUUUGAAAAUCCAGUCACGAAGUCCAUUUCAAUAUGAUCGAACUUCCAUUCUGGGAUAGCAAGAGGUUGGAGGAGACCAGCUGGUCAUUGGUGUUCUGCUUUCACUCUUCGGCAGACAUCACAUUCAUUCACGAAUUGAGCAAUUUCUCGCUUCAUUCGAGUCCACCAAUACGACUGCUUGAGGUCAUGAUACAUCUUCGUACUUCCAGGAUGAAUGGACAGGAGAGAAUUGUGUGCCUCAUUCAUUAUGACUUUCCGUAGAUCACCUUUAGGAACCACAAUCCGGUCCUCGAAGAACAAAGUGUCUCUGUCAUCAAUGCGAUAGCAUUUGUAUUUGGAAAGACCCUUGUUGAUACCACGUUUCACCUUCUUCACCAUGGCAUCAAGGAGUUGUGCCUCACGAAUUUGAUCUUCCAAAGUAGGAGAUACUAUGAGGUUGGCAAGAACGCCUUGAGGAACAACUUGGAGAUUCAGCUUGCGGAAAGCUUCACAAAGAUCCGGUUGGAAAGGCUUGAGAAUUAAGCUGUUGCAAUAAGCUUUCCUGCUUAAAGCAUCUGCAAUGACAUUAGCCUUGCCUGGAGUAUAUUCAAUACUCGGAUUGUACUCUUGAAUCAUUUCGACCCAUCGAGUCUUCCUGAGGUUGAGGUUGGGCUGAGUGAAGAUAUACUUGAGACUCUUGUGAUCAGUGAAAAUGUCCACUUGUCUUCCCAACAAGAGAUGUCUCCACGUAAUCAAUGCAUGGACAACUGCCGCCAACUCAAGAUCGUGAGUGGGGUAGUUCUUCUCGUUGGGCUUCAACUGCCGAGAGGUAUAGGCCACAACUUUCUUCUCUUGCAUUAACACAGCACCGAGACCUUGGAGAGAAGCAUCAGAGAAAACUUCAUACGGCUUGGAUUCAUCAGGAGGAGUCAAGACAGGAGCUGUGACUAGUUUCUCUUUGAGAGUGUUGAAAGCAACGUCACACUCAGGAGACCAGACAUACUUCACAUGCUUCUGUAGGAGGUUGGAAAGAGGCUUUACAAUUUUGGAGAAAUUCUCAACGAAUCUUCGGCAAUAGCUUGCAAGACCCAGAAAACUACGGAGCUGCUUGACAUUUUGAGGAGGUUCCCAAUCCAGAACUGCGGACACCUUCUCGGGGUUAACAGCGAUGCCUUUGGCAGAGAUGAUGUGACCAAGGAAAAGAACUUCAUCGAGCCAAAACUCACAUUUGGAGAACUUCGCAUAGAAUUGAUACUCUCUGAGCUUGUCGAGCACCAAUCGCAAAUGUUUGGCAUGAUCCUGCUUAUUCUUGGAGAAGACCAAGAUAUCAUCGAGAUACACCAGAACGAAUUCAUUGGUAUAGGGUUUGAAGAUGAAAUUCAUCAUCCGAGAGAACACCGGAGGAGCAUUGACAAGGCCGAAAGACACGACAGUAUAUUCAUAAGAACCAAAGCUUGUUCUGAAUGCUGUCUUGGGAAUAUCUUCUUCACGAAUGCGAAUCUGAUGAUAACCCAUACGAAGGUCAAGCUUCGAGAAAACUUUAGCACCCUUGAGUUGCUCAAAUAGCUCAUUGAUGUUGGGAAGUGGAUACUUGUUCUUGAUUGUCUUCUUGUUCAAUGGACGGUAGUCGACACAAAGUCGGUCCAUGCCAUCCUUCUUCUUGACAAAAAGAACACCACAACCCCAUGGAGAAGAACUCGGUCUGAUCAAACCCAGACGCUCUUGUUCAUCGAGCUGCUUCUUCAAUUCCUUCAGCUCGUUUGGUCCAAGCUUGUAUGGACGCUUGCAAACGGGUACAGUACCAGGCUCUAGUUCGAUAACGAACUCAACUGGCCGGUGCGGAGGCAUACCCGGAAGCUCUUCUGGAAAGACAUCUUGAUACUCGCAAACGACUGGAAUUUGAGAGAUGGCAUCCAAUUCGCCCUUCUCAUUGAGAGAGAAAAACCAAAUGGUUCCAUCACGAGCGGCAAAAAUAAUCACAUCCUCAGACGAGUGUGUCAAUUGAAUUUCCCUGGCAGCACAAUCAAGUUGAGCUUUGUGCUUAGAAAGCCAGUCCAUCCCGAGAAUAAGAUCAAUAUCCGAGUCACCAAGAACAAUUGGAGAAGACUGAAAUCUAUAGUCGCCCAUCUUGAUGGUAACAUUCGGAACCAUGGAACUUGCAUUCAUGCAUUUGCCCGGAGAGACCACUGCUAACGGCCUAGGCAAUCCUUGGAAAUGCAAUUCAUGCUUGGAUGCAAAAGGUCUUGAUAUGAAAGAAAGCGAUGCACCAGUAUCAAAAAGAACUUUUGCAGGAAUAUCAUUAACAGGAAGAUUACCCAUUAUCACAUCAGUAGAAUCCUCCGCUUGAGCUGCAUUCAUCAUGUUCACCUUUGCAAACUUUGGAUUAUGCUUGACCACUGCAUUGCUGGAAGAUCUGACAGGAGGAGGAGGAGGAAGACGCCUCUGGUUGAAGCACUUGUUAGCAUAGUGACCUUUCUGCUGACAUUUGUUGCAAGUCACCUCUGAGAGUGGACGGUGAUAAGGAGCAUUGGACUUUGGAGUUUGAUUCUGAGACUUGUUCUGAUAGCCAGAGUUGGAAGAGUUGGACGGACCAUGGCCACCUUUGUUCUUCUGCUGGUAAGGCUGACGAAACGGAGGAGGAGGAGGCAACCAGAACUUCUGUUGCUUAGCUGUCACAAGUGAGGAAGAAGAAGACUGAACUGCGUCUCUGACUCUCUUCUUAGAAGCCUCACACUUGAGCUGAGCAGCCUCUUGCUUCAGUGCCAUAUUGUAGAAUUGGUCAAACUGAGUAGGCUCAAUAAGAACGAGAGCUAACUGCAGAUCCUCUUUAAGGCCACCUCUGAAGUGAUAGAUCAUACUCUUCUCAUCAGGAACGUCUUGUUUAGCGAAGCGAGCAAGUUUCUGAAACUGAAUGUUGUAUUGAUACACAGACAUGUUUCCUUGCUUGAGAUUGCGGAACUCCUCACGCUUGCUCUCAACAACACUUUGUGGAAUGUGGUGCGCUUUGAAGUCCCGACAGAAGUCAGUCCAAGUGAUCACACGACCUCCUCUGGAAUCUUUGUAUUGUUGAUACCAAUCAGCAGCUUGGUCCUUGAGCUGGAAAGAAGCGAACUUGACAAAGUCCUCAGGCCUGACAUUGCUACAUUCAAAAUGCUUGUUGAUGUCCACGAGCCAAUCAUCGGCAUCCGUGGCCUCGGCACAGUAGCUGAAAGACUUGGGCUGAUUUGCGAGAAACUGGUUGAGAGUGGCGAAGUGAAACUGAUUGUUUCCUUGACCUUGAUUGCCUUGAUUGCCUUGCCCUUGAGUACGUUCUUGCAAGAGUUGCAGAAUCAUCUGAGCAUUGGCGUUGGUGGCUGCCAUGAUUGCUUGCCAUGCCUCCGGAGGUGGAGGUGGUGGCGGAGGGUUCGCUUGACUCCCUUCAUUGCGAUCCGGAUUCUGACGCGUUGGCGGAGCCAUCCUGAAGAGGGUGACAUCCGUUAGCAUCUUGAUAGAUAAAAAGAUAAGUAGAAUUAACGGACAGAAAUUGCAACAUAUAGUCUUCACAAUAAACAUUCGAACGAAGAUGAACGAAUGAAUUCCGUAGUAAAUCAUCACACUUCCAUAAGUUGAGAAGCCACUUGAAAAGAUAUGGAAUGAACAUAUGAAUUCGAAGCAAAUCGAAUACCACAAUACAAAAUAAACCAAGUAUUGGCUUGCAGAAUAAGCCGGAACAAACAUAUGAUAGAUAUUUCGUCCGAAGUUUUCGUGGUGGGGCCCACACGGGCUCAAUCGUACAGCACCAUCAUGUACAGGGCUGUGCACAUGACAUACGAAGCAUCCCCGAGUCGGCAAAGCCAUGGACUCUUUAAGACACAACGAGACCACUAUAAAAUCAACCGUAUACAGGCGGACCACUAGACGUCGAACCCCAAUCUCAUAUCAUGCGUCUGUCGGAAAGAUAUCCUAAGGCUACUUGAAUUCCCACUUAUAAACUGCCGAAACUUUCUGGUUAUGCAAUCUGGUGUAGGGGAUACAGGGGACACAAAAUAUAUAUCACCCAAACUAACAAUCCCUAGAUCCAGCUGUAUCCAUCCGUCAACACAUAACCAAGAAACCUUCGGAAAUCGUUUACCUCAACCUUCGAAAAACAUCCGUUAUACAAGUCAUGGCAAUACUCCUGAACUCCCGCCCCAGUACUGGGUGGCGUCGAGGUGAUCUCACCAACAACUGCAUAAAAGAGAUUUCGUUGUCGGCGAAACUCAGGUAAUCCAGAACUGCAACGAUAAAAUUGUGACGACAACACCUCGGAGCUCAACUCCCCGGGACACUGCCACAACCCCUAAAUGACAGGAGGCACCAAGAACAAUGUUCUCGUCACAAAUCCAUCGGAACGAUUCCAAGAUACCCGCGUGAUCCUAAAAAAAUUUUAGUGAAAUUUGAGGAGAGAAUAGUCAAAACUUCUACGUCAGGAGACCUCACCAGAGCGACGAAGGGACUGAGGAGUAAAAAGAAUCCUACUCUCCGAUAUAUAUAUAAUUCAAAGACUCAAAACAUUUUUGAUCUAGACUCAACAACGCCAGCGAUUCGAUCAAGCAGGGGGCUCCUAAGUCGGGGAUGGCUCUGAUUACCAACUUGUAACGCCCACGAUGUGGCUAUAUCUCCCACGUGUCGGGGCACGACUUAGAGGCAUAACCGCAUAGUGGUUUUGUCGCAAGAAGGGUCAUCUUCACACAAUCCCAUGUAAUGAACAAGAAUGGGAUAAGGAGUUGGCUUACAAUCGCCACUUCACACAAUACAUAAAUAUCAUUCAUACAUCAUCCAAAAAACAAUCAUUUAGACCGACUACGGUCAAAAUCCAGAUGAAAAUAAGACAACCCCAAAUGCUAGAUCCCCGAUCGUCCCAACUGGGCUCCACUACUGAUCAUCAGGAAAAGACACAUAAUAACGACCACGUUCCUCGUCGAACUCCCACUUGAGAUCGACGCCAUCGUCUGCACUGGCAUCGUCGGCACCUGCAACUGUUUUGGUAGAAUCUGUGAGUCACGGGGACUCAGCAAUCUCACACCCGCGAGAUCAAGACUAUUUAAGCUUGUAGGACAAGGAGGAGUAGAGAGGUGGAGCUGCAGCGGCAAAAGCAUAUAUGGUGGCUAACUUGCGUAAAAGAGAGCGAGAAGAGAAGCAAAGGAACGGACGUCAUCUAGCAAUGACCAAGAAGUGAUCCUGAACACCUACUUACGUCAUACAUAACACAGACCGUGUUCGCUUUCCGGACUCCGCCGAGAAGAGACCAUCACGGCUACACACGCAGUGGAUGUAUUUUAUUUGGGUCAAGUGACAAGUUAUCUACAACCGGACAUUAACAAAUUCCCAUCUGCCUCAUAACCGCGGGCACGGCUUUCGAAAGAUAAUACCCUGUAGGGGUGUCCCAACUUAGCCCAUCAUAAGCUCUCACGGUCAACGAAGGAUAAACCUUCUCCCGGAAAGACCCGAUCAGUCUCGGAAUCCCGGUUUACAAGACAUCUCGACAAUGGUAAAACAAGACCAGCAAAGCCGCCCGAAUGUGCCGACAAAUCCCGAUAGGAGCUGCACAUAUCUCGUUCUCAGGGCACACCGGAUUGUCCAAGCUUCCGAUAGGCCAGUCCAGAGUUGCCCCUGGUGGCCACCGGCGACUGACAGUUUGGACCAAUACUCAGAGGAGCACUGGCCCGGGGGUUUAAAAUAAAGAUGACCCUCGGGCUCUAGAAAACCCGGGGGAAAAAGGUAUAGGUCGCAAAUGGUAAAACCAAGGUUGGGCCUUGCUGGAGGAGUUUUAUUCAAGGCGAACUGUCAAGGGNNNNNNNNNNGUCCCAUAAAUCACCCGACCGCGUAAGGAACGCAAACUCAAGGAACAUAAUCCCGGUAUAACAGUAACUAGGGCGGCAAGAGUGGAACAAAACACCAGGCAUAAGGCCGAGCCUUCCACCCUUAACCAAAAUAUAUAGAUGCAUUAAUUAAAUAAGAGAUAUUGUGAUAUCCCAACAUAUCCAUGUUCCGACAUGGAACAAACUUCAACUUCACCUGCAACUAGCAACGCUAUAAGAGGGGCUGAGCAAAAGCGGUAACAUAGCCAAACAACGGUUUGCUAGGAGAGGAUGGUUAGAGGCUGACAUGGCUAAAAUGGGAGACAUGAUCUAGCAAGUGAUAGGUAGCGGAGCAUGGCAAUAGAGCGAACAACUAGCAUGGCAAAGAUAGAAGUGAUUUCGAGGGGUGGUCAUCUUGCCUGCAAGAUUCUCAGAGUUGUCGAAAGCUUGAUCCUCGUAAGCGUACUCGACAGGUUCCUCGUUCACGAACUCGUCUCCCAGCUCUACCCAAGACAAGAACACAAACAAACGGAACCACAAUCAACAACGAGAAAUGCGCAAGCAACAUGACGCAAAACAUGUAUGAUAUGCAAGAUAUGAUAUGCGAUGCGUAUGCGUGCUCCGGAAGGAAAAAGAUGAACAUGGCAGUAACUUGGCAAACCAAGCAUGCCACUGGAAAGAUGAGAUGAUUUCGGUCGAAAUCGAUAUAAGGAUCACCGGAAUCGGAUGCACGGUUUGCAAAUGGCAAGCAAAACAGGAAUGACACGAAUCUGCGAUUAACAGCAUGAUAGCACUCAAAAUGCAACAAGUAACAAUGCUACAGCACCCCAACAUAGCAACAAAGCACAUGUAAGUAAUCUACAGGAGAUGCUUGACAAAAGAUGAACAGUGAGCUACGGCUAGUUCACAACAUAUCAAGUUCAAACAAGCAUGGCAAAAGUGCAAAAGAUUACAGGUACACAGACUUGGUGAAAAACUGGACAUGGCAGAAAACAGCAUCAGGUAGCAAUGUUCAGAGCAUGAAAUCAACAUGCUACAGGAACUUAACAUAGCAACACAAGGCAUGGUAGUGUUUUACUAAAUGCACAUGACAAAAGUCCCUUACUGACCAUAAGCCAAAAAGGACCAGAAGAUAUGAUGGCAAGCAUGUAAACAUAGCAAGUUUCGUUAUCAGGUUUCAGACUUAGCAGAAAACAGAGCAUGGCAGGAAUAUUAAUAUGUAGGCCUCUUUGUGAGCUUGAUGCACUCCCUACAGAGCAAUGCAUGACAAACCAAGCAUACCUACAGCAAGAUGGCAUGUUUAUGAAGCUAUCCAUGGAAAGAACAAUUGCAUAGCAUAUAUGGAUCAACUACAAUAAGCUUGGCAAAAAUGCAUGUCAUGUUAAGAAUCUGCCAGAAAUAUUUUAUAGCAAAAGUAGAGCAAGAUUGAGUCAUGCUAUGGCACUCCAUAAUUGCAAACAAUUGCAGGAAUGGAUCAAUUACAACUAUAGCUACAAAACAUCCUUACUGAACAUCUCCAAAAUAUGCAUGGAUCUCUCUGUAGCAUCAAGUUUACAUGGCAACAAAAUUACAGCAGACGAGCAUCAAGUUCCUGAAAUCAGAAUUAUUACGGGGCCUACUUUGCAUGCUUGUUCUAGUCACCACAGAGAUCACAAAAAUACAUGGACUACACCACUGGAAAGAUGGCAUGGCAUACUUAAAAACACAUAUAGAGCUCAUGCUCAAAAGAUGCACAGAUUUAAUGAUACAAAAAUGACAAAUCUCCAAGUUCUGUCAAGAACCAGAGAAUAACAGCAACUAGCCCUCUUCCAACGAAGAUUUGGGCAUCAAGAUGACCUCCAAUGAACAUGGCGCAAUUGAACAAAAUGAAGAGCAUCACGAGGCGAACAAUUUGACAUAUUACACGCGCGAAUCGGAGCUACAUGCACAGAGUUAUCGCAAUACAAACAAGAGCACAUGCAGAUAAGAUUUUAUGACUGGAAAAAACGGACGCGAGGGAGAGGUCAACGGGGCUGUACCAGAUCGGAUCUCGCGAGGCUGAGCUCGAGCUCGGCCGACGCCGGCGAGGCAGGGAGAGGGGCUCCGGCGGGGAGCGCCCGGAGGAGGGCCCGGCGGCNNNNNNNNNNNNNNNNNNNNNNNNNNNNNNNNNNNNNNNNNNNNNNNNNNNNNNNNNNNNNNNNNNNNNNNNNNNNNNNNNNNNNNNNNNNNNNNNNNNNNNNNNNNNNNNNNNNNNNNNNNNNNNNNNNNNNNNNNNNNNNNNNNNNNNNNNNNNNNNNNNNNNNNNNNNNNNNNNNNNNNNNNNNNNNNNNNNNNNNNNNNNNNNNNNNNNNNNNNNNNNNNNNNNNNNNNNNNNNNNNNNNNNNNNNNNNNNNNNNNNNNNNNNNNNNNNNNNNNNNNNNNNNNNNNNNNNNNNNNNNNNNNNNNNNNNNNNNNNNNNNNNNNNNNNNNNNNNNNNNNNNNNNNNNNNNNNNNNNNNNNNNNNNNNNNNNNNNNNNNNNNNNNNNNNNNNNNNNNNNNNNNNNNNNNNNNNNNNNNNNNNNNNNNNNNNNNNNNNNNNNNNNNNNNNNNNNNNNNNNNNNNNNNNNNNNNNNNNNNNNNNNNNNNNNNNNNNNNNNNNNNNNNNNNNNNNNNNNNNCGGCGGCGCGGGUGACGUGGCGCGCUCCGGUUGGCCGGGCGCGCGGCGGACGGUGUCCGGCCGGAGCGGACGCGUCCGGCGCGGCGCGAAGGGAGAGGGUUAGGGUUUCGUCUGAGAUUUCGUUUUUCGGGAUGCCCACUUAUAAAUAGGUAGAGGGAGCUAGGAGGCUCCAAAUGAGGUGCGGUUUUCGCCCACACGAUCGUGAUCCAACGACCUAGAGCAUGGAAGAGAGUUUGGUGGGCUUUGGGCUGGUCUUGGAGGGGGUUUUUGCUGGACACUCAAAUGGACUUGGCGGAUGCCCGGUUAACCGUUGGAGUACCAAACGACCUCCGAAUGGAACGAAACUUGACCGGUAGUCUCCGGGUGGUAUAUUAAGACCACUUGACAAGCCUCGGUCCAUUUCGAGAAAGUUGACACACGCACACGAAAGAAAACAAGAGGGGUGCACCGGAGGAGAUAGGAGCGCCGGAUUGGAAAACGGACAACGGGGAAAAUGCUCGGAUGCAUGAGACGAACACGUAUGCGAAUGCAAUGCACAUGAUGACAUGAUAUGAAAAUGCAUGACAUGACAAAAUACAAAACGAAAGACAAAACCCGACAACGGGGAAAAUCAUAACACAUAGCCGGAAAUGGCAAGAGUCGGAGUUACAAAUAUGGCAACAUGCGGGGUGUUACACAGCGCCCUCAAAGGCGGCACGACGCAGCCGCCGGCCGCGGAGAGCGCCAUGGCCUCUGCAAUGCGCGCCUGGUACGCCUCCUCCUUGCGCCGCUCCUCCUUGGUCCGCGGAAAUAUCUGCCGUGUUUACACAAUCAACGUGCUCUAGCUUUUUUAUUUUUUAUUAUUUUUAGAAAAUGAUAAAGAAACAAACCCUAAGAGCAACACCAACCCGCCGACCCAAACGGACUACGCUUUUACCCGCUUUUUGUUUGUUUGGGUCGGUCUGGCGGACACCCAUAUCCGCUUUCGCGUUGGGGUCGGCGCUUGCGCCCAACACUGGCCCGAUCCAUUUUUGAGCCGGCGUGAAAAAAAAAUCCUGCAAACAUUUUAAAAAAUUGAAAACGUUAAGCCACCGAUUUCAGGUUGACAACAAAUUAGUUCCGUGGGAUGAACUCAUCAGUAGUGACGCGCUACUGAAUGAGCUGGCUCACGCAUUAAGUAGGUGCGGGGGUCCUUCCAUGACCUUUGAGAUACAAAAAGAACUUCUCAGGUUGCAUUGAAGAUGGAUGAAGCAACAAUCUAAGAGUGAAAAAUACCUAAAGGUUGCAACAGAACAUACUUUUUUCUUGACUGCCGACUGCGAGGAUGAAGACGAUAUCUUCAUGCCGAGCACCAAGGCCAAGAGUACCGCACCGUCGAAGGGCAAGAGUUCUACAUCGUCGAAGCGCAAGAGUUCAUCAUCGUCGAAGGGCAAGAGUUCUGCAUCCACGGAGGAUGACGAUGAUGACUUCAUGUCGUUUUUAUGGUGUAUGUUUUAAGUUCAGUCCUACCGUUUAAUUCAGAUGUAGUUGUAUCCAGUUGUUUGUACUGUCUUAUUGUAGGAGGAGUAUGUUAUAUAUAUCUAAAUAUGAUGUUGUAGUUGGCACACAACAUUGGAUAACAGAGUACUAAAAUAGAGUAGGCAUAUGUCUCAUGGUGGAAAUAUGCCCUAGAGGCAAUAAUAAAGUGGUUAUUAUUAUAUUUCCUUGUUCAUGAUAAUCGUUUAUUAUCCAUGCUUUAAUUGUAUUGACAGGAAACUCAAAUACAUAUGUGAAUACAUAGACAACAUGUCCCCCGUGAGUCUCUACCGGACUAGCUCGUUGAUCAAAGAUGGCCAUGGUUUCGCUAGUCAUAGACAUGAGUUGACAUUUGAUAACGGGAUCACAUCAUUAGGAGAAUGAUGUGAUGGACAAGACCCAAACUAUAAAGCAUAUGAUCGUAUCAAGUUUAUUGCUAUCGCUUUCUGCAUGUCAAGUAUCUGUUCGUAUGACCAUGAGAUCAUGCAACUCAUUGACACCGGAGGAGUACCUUGUGUGUAUCAAACGUCGCAACGUAACUGAGUGACUAUAAAGAUGCUCUACAGGUAUCUCCGAGGGUGUCUGUUGAGAUUUAAGAUACAACGGCGGCCCGGAACCUCGAGCCAGCUCUGGUGGCCGCUUAGCCGCAUCCAGGAUCGGAACGCCAUCAACACCCUCAUCUCCGACCUUCGAGCGAUGGCCUUCCGCGUGGCGCCACCACUUCCGCCGCCUCCCCCAUAGCCAGACUAGUCGUCCAAAUUUCUCCGGUGUGCCGGUGUGUCCUCAGCAUUAACCUUGGUACCUUAUGUUGUGUUUGUGUGUGCGUGUGUGGACCUCCACGUCUUGGGCGUGUUGUGAAUGAACUCGUGUGCUUGUUUGUGGCUUGGGCGGUUUGCUAUAUAUAUAAAGCGAGACGAAAGCCUUUCUCAGUAAAUUACGAGAUGAGACAGACUGUGUUGUUGGAAUUUGUAUACAGCCAAAACUGCAACAACAUCUACAGUAGUGCGCAAAGCUUGACUGUCGAUGUGUCUAACUGAAAGAAAAAAGGGCAUGAACGAGGUGAUGAAGGACGUCUCCAGAAGGGAUUGCAGUGGUUGAAGCUUGUUCAGUUUCGUCGGACUUGAAUAUCUACUCUGAAAAUGAACCACCAUAUCUGCAUCCCUCUUAUGGGCGCAAAAUGAGAUUGUGUGAACGAUAACUACAACUCGACUCAAGGACGACCAUUAAUGUACGUAUUUCCCAACACACCCUGAACUUGCUUUUACAGAUUACAAAAAUUCCUCCGCUAACCUCAUUAACUCAACUUGUAAUAAUGUACUCAGUAUUUCCCAACUCCUGAAUCGCUGUAAUGAGUACCACUACAUCCAAGUGUAAUAUCAGGACCAGUCACGCAAACGUGCCUGCUAGUUUACUCAGGUAACUGAAAUUAUCAGGGAACUCUGUGAACCAUCCCCAUUUGCUUGCAUCUGCUACACUUUACCCUACUGCGGAUCUCUUGUCCAGCAAUACCACAGCAUUUUCUAGGAAAGCAGUUACCCACAACAACUGUGGUACAGGAGGCCUUUCAUGCAAGGCUUCCUAUACACUCACUUCCCUUCGGGGAACGUAAGUAAAACACUGACCUUGUACAGCUAGGAAUCAGUAAGUUUGUGGAGGACUGAAUGACUAUAAAUUACACUUGCCCAGAUUCUUCAUAGCAAAGGAUGCAUUCCAAAGCUUGCCACAUUGUGUGACAAUUCAGUAUUCGACUAGGACAGUCUGUGCAGCUUCUACUCGCUUAAUUCGCUGCUACUCAAUGUAAAAUAUUUGGGCACCAUGCCUGUUCUAAUGAGUUCUUAUGCAACCGAUACAGAGGAGCUAACUGCAGUUCCCUCCACAUUUUCUCAUCCGGGCUUGGGACCGGCAAAGGC
Molecule: long non-coding RNA, 63638 nt
Filed under: Triticum aestivum (bread wheat)
Lineage: Eukaryota; Viridiplantae; Streptophyta; Magnoliopsida; Poales; Poaceae
Description: long non-coding RNA (TAES_LNC019600)
Source: RNAcentral